This 59814-nucleotide long non-coding RNA is filed under the name Populus tremula. RNAcentral's name for it is "long non-coding RNA (PTRE_LNC001350)". The record is from RNAcentral. Lineage: Eukaryota; Viridiplantae; Streptophyta; Magnoliopsida; Malpighiales; Salicaceae.
AUUUGAGUAAGAAGCUGGAUAAAAGUAGAGACGCACAAAUUUUGGGCCAGGCAAGACUGGAAAUGUGUAAGUGAAUUUAGAGUGAAAAAUACGGGCUGUCAUGUAUGGGACUUGGUCGACAGAGGGGUCUUGAGUGGAGGCUUCAAACACAGAUGAGGCUUCUGGGGGGUUAGAGGCAGCAAACUUAGACUGGGAAUCACCAUCCCAGCUGCGACCAUCUGGAGAUGACAAAUUAGAGGAUGCACCACAGUUAAGGAGUAUUAGAUCAGUGGGGCUGUAUGGCAGCAAGUAAUCUUCAGUAGCAGUACCAUAGAGGAAGAGAUGGAGGGGAGGGAGAAGGUAGAGAAAGAUGAAGAUGGACAUUACUAUGCUAGUUCUUUGGUGGAGUAAAUUGGAGUAAGAAAAAAUAUCUAUUAAAUGCAAAGAUUUUGAUUUAAGGGAAGAUAAUCAAUGGUGUCGCUGUCUCCAUACAGUAACAUUUUUGCUCAGGUUGAGAAUAAUCCAAUAAUAUAUUUGAGACCCGUCGGAGAAGAAAAUUCGACGAUAUGGCUAAUGGGACAUAUUGGUCAGCUUUGGAUGGCUGCUUCCCGUUGUGUGGUUCUGAAUUCCGCAAUAAAGCCGCAAUGAACAAUCUAAUUUCAACAAAGGAUCGACCUAUUCCUUUUUGGUUCAUGAGUGUGCCUUUUUGGGCUGAGCUUAUAACCAAAAAUCUUCUCAUCUGGUAUAGUAAUCGCUUACUGCAAAACUUGGUGGUAAUGAGAAAUCUUUCUUCCCCUUAAUCGAAGAAUAAUGGAUUUACCUCUUGAUAUAUCUGGGACAUAUUUGGUAUCUAUUAGAAAAUAAUAUAAAUUAUAUAUUGAAAUUUUAUUUAAAAAUUUAAGUAAUUGGGUUGAGAUGGUUCUUUGAUAUGAUAUCAGAGUCUUAAUGACAAAACAUGCAUGAGAUUAAAUCUCAUCAUUCUCAUCUAUUUGAUAAAAAUUAAGCACAAGGUAAUGUGAGCCUAUGCAAGUUUAAAGCUCAAAAGACUUUCACUUGAAAGAGUGUGUUAGAGAAUAAUAUAAAUUAUAUCUUGAAACCUCACCUAAAAAUUUAAGCUAUUGGAUUGAGAUAGUUAUUUAACAGUACAUAAUAAAAUCAAUAGCAACAGUGAAGAAGAGGCAAGCUGUCCUCUCUUCCCUGGAGAUGGUAAUUUGCUCUCUCUCAUCCUGUUAAGCUUGAUUUCCAUACAUGAGGGGAAACUGAAUGGAGUUCUCGGUGGAUGAAAAAUAAUUGGAAUAAUAAAUGAAAUGAAAUUGAGUUUCAUUGUUGAAAAAAUCAUGCUGAAAUCACUUCAAUCCUAAGGAAAAUACAAGUCUUCUACAAUGAUCAGGUCUAGCAAAUGUUCUUAUCUUGUACAAACACGACACCUAAUGCAAACCUGUGAACAUUCCAAGAUCUUUUUUUAAACUUCAUUGCUUGCAAUAGAUCAAGGAAGCUUCGCCAUUAAUUAGUGCACGAGAAAGACAAUCACUAGAUAUCGUAUCAACAUAGCAAUUGCUUGCUAUUUUCUUCAAUUAUAAAUCAUUAUAAAGUAUAUACAAAUUUUAUUGUUAUUGUUGGGAUAUUGCCAUUAUUGGGCAACAUGUGCAGCCUACCCUAUAAAGAGUAGGGUUACCAUUUGUCAAUGGUAGUUGCACCCACCAUUGAUAAAUGUAUCAACCCAUGUGCAACUGUUGUUGUUGAAGAAGAACAACCACCAUCCUUGCCUAUAAAUAGACAACAAGAGAGCAGAACAAUUGAGAGAGGGAUUGUGAGAAUGUAGAGAGUGUGAAGAGAGAAAGAAAGAGAAGGGCUGCCACCAGCAGCCCUGCUGCCUUAUGCAGCAAUGAGAGAUGAGAGUUGAGUGGAUGUGAUCCUCCUCCAUGUGUUGUAUUCUUUCUCUAUCUCUAAAUAAAAUGAACCUCUCCCAUGGAUGUAGGCGGUUUUGCCGAACCACGUUAAAUAUUGUGUCAGUGUGCUUGCCCUCCGUUGAGCAAAGAUCAGUACAUCACUGGUCGGAUUUCCCAACAAUUGGUAUCAGAGCUGAUGGUUUAAAGUGGUGUUUGAUUUUUGCUCAAAAAAUGAAAGUUGUCAAAAUUGUGUUUUGACCAUACCACCGUGUAGAGGAGGAAGAGACGAAGCCACUGUUGAAAACUGCGUUGAAAUCGGACGUCGGACAUGGCCGCACGUGCCGUCACGCGCCAGCGUCACACGUGUCUUCUUCGCCCGGAUGGGCUGACCCGACCCGAAUACCAGACGACCCGACCCACGUGGCUGACUCGGAUAAGGAUGACAUCAGUAUGCCGUAAUUAUGACGUCAUCAUGCACAGUAGCAUGGCCCAGGAUGACAUCAACAUGAUGUAAUGGUGGCGUCAUCAUGCACAGUUAGCACAUUGGACCCACUAACACGUCAUCAGCCGUGAGCCGAGCUGAUCCGAGCGGCGAGCCGAGGGAUAGGAUUCUGUGCAGCUGAGUCUAUGUGCAAUCGGAUCUGAGAUUGAAUCUGAGCCGUUGAUCAAGCCAGAAUUGUUUUGAUCAAAGCUUAGCCGUCUGAAGUGCGAUUUGGACGAUUCAAGACAUGUUUCCAGCUAAUUUGAUCAUUCCAGAUGCAAUGGUACGGUCCGAUCAUUGAGAUUUGAGACCGAAAAUGGCGGUGGUGAAUUAUUAAAGAGAGAUUGCCCGAUCAGGAGGCAUCUGAGGGUCUUGAUGGAGGUCGAUGAAGAUGAUGAAGAAGAAGGUGCACAUGUUUUCCCAAUUAUAUGUGUUGAACUAUUAAAUGGGAAAAUGUAAUGCCUUGAUGGAAGGCAAAAUUAGGACACUCUGGACACCCAGUUAUGUGGACAAUUAGAGGUGGAGAGUGAAAAUUGACGAAGACCAAUCUUGACGAAUCUAAGCACUGGUAGUCUCGCUAGAUGUUGAGAAAUCAGGUAUAAAACCAAGAUACCCAGAUCACUUGUAAAGGAAAGCCGCAACAAAGCUAGCAAAUGGUUGUAUAUACGGAAAGACAGUACGAUGGAUAGAUAUGGCCUAAGAAGUUAUGUCUAGGAGAUUAGGUUUUAAGUGGGACCGUUGUGACCCCUCCAAUCUUUCCUGGGAACUUGCUUAGUGGAAGGAUUAUCCAUAUGGUACUAUUUUCGUAUAUGUAACAGUUUGUAAUGAAAUUUUUGAAGACUAGCAGGAUGACGCCACAAGGGGAACAAUUGGGUUCCGUAUGAUCAAGGAUCUGAUGGAGUAGUGAUUUCUUCAAAGAAGCUAGAUUCGGUGACUGUGAUUUCUCGAGGGGAGAAUUGAUGAAGACCCUGAUAAUGGAAGAGAAAUACAGCAAGGGGAUAAAGAUUGGCACCCUAUUUUGACUUGGACAAGUGUUGUGACAGGAUCAGCUGCUAUCAAACAUAAGCAAGGAAUAUGGAGAAAUCUGGAGAACAGAAAUUGCACGAGAGCACACGAAGAUUAUGCAGGAGUACCCGUAGGAUCCAACGAGGUACUGUAAUGAGAAGUUUAUUAUGUUGUUGUUGAAGAAGAACAACCACCAUCUUUGCCUAUAAAUAGACAACAAGAGAGUAGAACAAUUGAGAGAGGGAUUGUGAGAAUGUAGAGAGUGUGAAGAGAGAAAGAAAGAGAAGGGUUGCCACCAGCAGCCCUGCUGCCUUAUGCAGCUGCUGCCCAAUGCAGCUGCUGCCCUAUGCAGCAAUGAGAGAUGGGAGUUGAGUGGAUGUGAUCCUCCUCCAUGUGUUGUAUUCUUUCUCUAUCUCUAAAUAAAAUGAACCUCUCCCAUGGAUGUAGGUGAUUUUACCGAACCAUGUUAAAUAUUGUGUUAGUGUGCUUGCCUUCCGUUGAGCAAAGAUCAGUACAUCAUCGGUCGAAUUUCCCAACAGUUAUACUCAUCAAAAACAUGAGUAAAAAGAAAGAAGAAGGGUUCAGACAGUCACCCUACACGUAGAGCAAACUGAUCCACCCAUCUUGGUGGAGCUCACAUAGACGGAUUGGGUCACCUUGCGCUUUAUAGGUCGCUGUUGAAAUCGAAACCCACGCAGACAGAUAAAGAACCGACCCCUUUGUCCCCUCUUCCUCGAUCAACUACCAUGUUUGCAUCGAUUGUAGCAAGUGCAAGGCCGAGAGUUACCAUUGAUCGGUUUUGCACAGUUGCCAUAUAUUUGUGCAUUGCAAAUUGGUUGUCGUUCUAAACUCUUAGGCCAUGUUUGUUUCCUAAAAAGUAGUUUUUGGGAAAUAAUUUUCCAGACUUUCUUAUGUUUGUUUACUAUUAGAAAAGUUGGUCAAAUGAAAACACUUUCCGGUCAACGGAAAACACUUUUUAGUCAAAGAAAAUUUUAGCUUGGUUUUCAGGAAAGUGUUUUCCAUUUUAGCGGUGUUUAUUUUCUGAAAAGUGGUUUCCAGGAAAUCACUUUCCAAACUUUCUUGUGUUUGUUUGCCAUUAGAAACGUUGGUCAACAGAAAAUACUUUCCAGUGAAAGGAAAAUUUGACUUGGUUUUCAGGAAAGUGUCUUCGUGGAAAAUUUGGGCGGAAAACACGUUCCGAAAGUUGUGAAAAAUUUAGAAAUGUCAUUAUUUGCUGAUUAUAUCAAAUUUGAUCCUUAAACUUUUGAUUGCUAUAUAUAUUUUGUUUUGAAUAUUUAUUUUUCAAUUUCAUCUCUUAAAAUUUUUAUUUUAUAUUAACUUUGGUCCUUAUUUUUAUAAUUGCUAUUUUCUUUUUCCUUAUCAUUUUUUUAUUGAAAUUUUUUAUCUAUCAAAUUUGGUCCUCAUUCUUUUGAUUGUUACUUAAUUUUUUAGAUUUGAUCGAUAUUAUUUUGAUUAUUAUUUAUUUUAUUUGAGAUAAUUUAUGAAAUUAUAUUUAUUUUUUCAAUUUCAUUCAACUUUUUAAUUUAUAAGAUUUGUUCCUCGUUAUUUUAAUAAACUUGAGAAAAAUAAAAUAUUAAUAAGUUAUUUUCCAACUCAUUUUCCAUGACAUAACCAAACACUGGAAAAUGUUUUCCAACUUAUUUUCCAUUACACUACCAAAUAUCGGAAAAUACUUUCUCGGAAUUCACUUUCCGAAAAGAAACUACUUUCCAACAAACAAACGGGCCUUAUAGUUAAUAUAGUUACCUUGAGAGGCCAGUAGUCUCUGAUGCACUUCAGAUUCCAUAGAGAACUCCUCUUCAUUACCUUCACCGAUUGUGGCAUUGAAAAUUGGACUCGAGUUUGCUUUCAAGAAAGGCAGCUGCAGAAGCAGAUGUGAUCACCAAAACAAGCAGGAUAGUUAAAGAGAGCCACCAGAGGAAUUCAAUACUUACGUUAGGCCUCGUCUCUUUCUGUCUGUACCCUUCUGUUACAGAGUUUGAAGAGCACUAAAUAAACGUCACUGCGAAGAAUGCUUCGAACUCUGGAUAUGGAGUGAAAGGCUAGCUUUUUUCCAUUGACUUGCUUUUUUUGUGAAGACUUAGGUCUUCACAUGAAUGUGAUUUUGAUGUUUUAUACUAUCUUAAUCUAAUAAUUUAAAUUAUUAGAUAAAAUUAUAAAAUAUGAUAUAUAUUGUUCAAGAAUAUUUGACAAAACAUCCAGCCACUUAUAUAUAUAUAUAUAUAUAUAUAUAUAAGAUCAGGACCAUAAUCUGGAUUUUCGUUAGUGAAUUCAUCCUCAUCGGAACUUGAUAUUUCAUAUAAGGCUUCUUGGAGUUUUUUCUUGUAUUCUGACGUUGAGCUUGAUGAUGCAAGGUUUUCUUGAAUUCAACUUUUAGAGGUGAGAAACGUAAAUUGCCUUCUUGAGAUAGAGUUGAUGGGUAUGCUUGCAGCUAUGGAAUUUGAUGUGAUGAGAUUAUUGCCAAGCAUGCACAAUUUCAGAACAAGCUUGAGCUUCUCUGAAUUUGGGUCCACCAUUUGACUUUGAUUUUUCUCAUGAGAUCUAAAGAGUAACCAAUAUCUUUAUUUACAUCAUUCAUUAUAAUGGAGUCCCAAGAUAGCAUGAGACACCAAAGGUUGAGAUGAAAUAAAAAGAGGUAGGAAUUGAAUUCAAAGGUAUUUUUACUGUAAGCAAUUCCAAUCCUUUGUAUGAUUUUUUAGGGAGAAUCUCACUUAUUGAAGAAAAAUAUUGCCAUCAAUUGUUUGACAACUAAGUUGGAAAAUUCUUUGGAAAUGUUUUGAGAAAAUCUUUCAAGGUGCAGGGUUUUGAUUCAUCUCUUGAAAGGUUAAAACCUUUUGAAUUUUUAUUUUUGAAAAAACAAGAUUGUUUACAUCUUGAUUAUGAGUUAUUUCAACAAAGUCAAUAUCAACCAAAAUAAACUCAUAGAAUUGUUUUGUUUUCAACAUAUUUUCUAAAAUAACUUGAAAAUAAUAGCUUCUUGACUUGAAAGGCUUAAAGCUUUUUUUAGGAAAAAUUUGGAGGGUAAUUAACACAAGUGAAAGUACAAGCAAUGGGACAAUAGCGAGAAAAAGAAAAUUAAUAGUUGAAAUAGAGUAGAGCACAUGAAUUCUAAUUUAUAGUUUUAUUGAUGAAGAGAAAAAUUCACUAUUUCUUUUGCCUCUUUAUGAUGUUUUCAACUUUUUAAAUAAGCUAAAAAAAUCAAACUAAUCAAACUAGAAAACCCUAAAAUAAAGAAAAAAAAUAUUAAAAUUCCUAAACAAACUUAGAGAAAUAAAAUUACUAUUCUCAAUAUUUAAUUUCCUAAACUAAAUAGAAAAAAUAAAAUCACCGAAAAUAUUUUCCUAAACUACAUAGAAAAUAAUAAUAACUAAGAAAUUUUAAUUUCAUAAAAACCCUUGGCAUCAACAAUAAUGUUGUAAAAGGUGUAUUAAUUUUGGGAUUGAACAAACAAGGGAGUUUGGAGAGAUUAAGAAUAAUUUAUAGGUGAGGUGUUUGGACUAGAUCAUGCUGAUGAAAGGAUUCAAAAUUGAUUAUUUAAGACACUAGCCCCAAGGAGGUCAAACCCUCCCUGAAAUAAAUUAAUAUCUUGAAUGCUUGAUGUUGUGGUUUGAAUUGGUCUUGAUGGUGUAAGAGCAUAUGAUUAUUUUGACUUAUUUUGAGCCUAGUAAAGACUCUUUGGAUAAAAGACUCUUUUACUUCUUUCAUUAAUUCAAUCUCCAAAUCAUAUUUUAAUAAAUUAUCUUGUUACCUGGCAAAACUUUGUUUUGACACAAUAUUUUGAAUAUUUUUUUCAACAACUUAUUUUACAUAUUGACAAUUUAUUUGUAAAAGAAAUUUCUGGAAAAUAAAUCAUCUUGAAAAUAUUAGAUGUAUAAAAUAAUUAAUAAAAUUUUCUUUUUGAUAGUUGAAUAAUUUUCUUGAGGAUCCAACCAAAUACCUAAAUGAUAUUGCACUAUAUGUUAUUGACUUUGAAAAUUUUGUUUGAGAAUACCACUGUAACUAAUAUCAAAGGCAUCGGUUUCAACUAUAAAAAAGGCCUCUAGAUCAUAAAGUCUUAAACAUGAAAACUCUUGACUUGACUUUUAAGAGUAUUCACAAUUUUGAUCAUUUGAUGAUUGAUUUUAGACAGGAGGGUUUUUCUUAAGUCUUUUGUACAAAGGUUGACAUAUAGUUCUAUGAUUUGGAAAAAUAUCUAAAACAUAAUCGAGGCAUCCCAUAAACUUUUAAAGCUAGGUUUUACCCUUGAUCUUAUUUAUGAAUUUAAUGGUAAAUUUUAUUAUAGUGACAAGGGUUAUUGAUAAAUUAUAAUUUUUAAGGUUGAGAAAACUAAUCUAUUUUGUUUGAUAAUAUUAAGAAACGUUUGUAAGUUGUUGAAAUGUUUGGUUAUUAGUUUUAAAAAUAAAAGAACAUCAUCUAUGUAUAUAAUCAUAAUUUUGAAUAUAGAUUAAAGAUGUCAUUCAUGAUGCUCUGAAGUUUUGAAGGAGUAAUUUUUAGUUCGAAAGACAUUAUAUCUCAUUUGUAAUGACCAAAUGAAAUAAUGAAUGUUGUUUUAUAAUGAUUUUUUUAAUCAAUUUAGACUUGUUAGAAUCUUGAUUUCAUAUCAAUUUUUGAAUAUAUUGAAGAAUUUUAAAGUCUUCUGAUAAGAUCUCUCUUAUUGUGUAUUGGAUAUCUAAUAUAUUGGAGCACUUUGUUGAGAGGCUUGUGAUUUAUGACAUGUAUUAGUGCAUGAUUAGUACUUAAAAGUGUAUUUUAUCAAUGUUUUAUAUUAUCAUUUUGUACUUGAAGUAUCAAUAACUCCUUAACUAGAGCAUGUUUUAUAAUAACAAGUCUGAUAAUAUAAGAUAACUUUAAUUUAUGGUAAAUGCUCAUUUUAAAUACAGACAUAUCUCACAAUUCAAAGGAUUGAUUGCUGUGAUUAACUAUUGAAAGUGAAAAGACAAAGAAAAGGCUAAGCUUAGAAAGGAGAUGCAGAUUCAAUUCAAAUUGGAACACUGUUAAGUUAUUGGGUCAUAUCUGGAGCUACAGUUCUUGGAUUUCAGUUUGGUUUAUAUGGCUAGAAAAAUAAGAAAUAGGCUUACAAUGUUCAUGAAUAGUGAAAGACCCAAAUCUUCCGUUUUCAAAUUCAAAGUUUGGCCACAAAAGAGAAGUCAGAAUCUGUCAUACAAUCCAGCCCAAACACUUCUCAUACUUUUACCCAUAGCUGGAGUUUUAAAAGGAAAAAUGAUGUCAAAUUUGGUGGCUAGAAGGAUAAGACAAUUUCCAAAAACUUUCAUGAAGACGACCUGCUCCAAUUCUGAUGUUAGAAAUGACAUUUCAUCCAGACAAGAGCUUGAGGGCUGUCCAUUACGUCCACCAGAAGCACUACUCAAUAUUUUAGCCAUAUCUCAAUCUCUAGUGAUCCAAAUGCUCUAAAAUUUUAUGGAUGGAAAGAUGAGAUGAUUGCAGACAACUUUUAUGAAGAACACUUUGCCAAAUGUUGAUUGAAUCAAUGUCAUUUCAUCCAGCCAAAAUGCUUAAGUGUUAUUGUCCACCAAGUCCACUAAAUCAAUAGUUGGCCACUACAUCAAUAAUCAAUUACCAAAUGAAUAGUUCCGAAUUUUAGCCUAUAAAAGGAGACAAUUGCAAUUCAUUUAGGCAUCUUGGUUCUUAGAUCAAGAUCAUGUUCUUGCUCUCUCUUUAAAUUUUUGUAAUGCUUAAGUUUUGCUUUCAUUAAUCUCUUGUUUAUGCUUUUCAUUUUCUUUACUAUACUUAGUUAACUUAUAUCAUGUUUAUGUUCAUAUAUUGUUUAUUUAUGUUUUUAUUUUUCAUAAUGUCGAGCUAAGUUAAUUAUGUCAAGGUGAAAAGGUUUCACUAAUGGUGUUAGAAUAUGUAUAAUAUAAACUCAAUAUGGACUUCAAUGUUUAUAUCCAAGAAAGUUUGUUAUUAAUAUGUCAUAUCUUUUUAUCUUAUUAAUUCUUAAUACCUUGCUUGUUAAAUGGUUAAUCUAGAUUUGUGUUGUAUAACACUUGGUAAAUCAAAUGCUUGAUCCUUCAUAGUCUUCGGUCAACAUCAUUGUUAUGAGAAGAACUUGAUUUGUUGUUAACAUAAGUUAACAUCAUGAAUUCCUGAUAAUAUUUAAAAGUAUGGUGUUACUAAAAUAAGAUAAUUAAUAUGAUCAUGUUAAAAAUUUAUAAUUAACUUUUACGGAUAAAUCAUCCGAUUGGAACCUCCUUUGUGUGUGGUUUCCAAUUGAGUAAUAAAAAGAGUUUAUACUAUACUUAUUUCUAAUACCAUUAGUGGACCCUCUAACCUUGACAUUUAUUUGUAUUAUUGUUUAAUCCUCACAUUAAUCUUAUAUCUCAAAGAUCUCUUUAUAUAUAUAUAUAGUUAACUUUCCUGUGGAUCGACCCCGGUCUUGCUGAGUUAUUUAUUACUUUGACACUCCUUCACUUGAGAGAAGACAUCAAUCUUUUUGUCAUGUCAAUGCACUUCUUUCUAUUUCAGCUUGAUUCCAGACAUAAAAAGGUGGCACAUAACCAUGAUGAUUUACUAGGGCUUAUAAGACACUUUUUGAUUAAUUUGAGGUAAUUUCCAAUUAUCAUUGUACGUGACUUUAUCUCAUUAUCAAAGUUUAGGAACUUGAAUGUUUGAAUUUUGAGAGUUAGCUUUAAUAAGGAGAGUUUAAUUUAUAGAUGAAUUUUUGAGAGGUUUUGGAGCUAUGUUUGUAUCCAUGAUUUUGUAAUAUAUUCUAUAGAUGAUGACUAUAUUCAUGGAAUCUUGAAGCAUAUCAGUACGAGUCUUAACAAGUCUCAAUAUUUAGAGCUAAGGUUUUCACUAUAAUAUCUAGGUUGAAUAAUGAGAUAGUGAAAUUUCGAUAACAAUUCAAGUAUGUAGAACCAUUAACAAGAUUUGAUUGAAAGAUUGUAAGGAGUGAGUUUGAAAAGGUCAUAAAUUUGUGGUCUCUUGAAAACAUAAGUAUGGGAGAGUCUAAUCCGAGAUGAUGAAUUGGUUUGAGUACAAUCUGUAUUAGACGGUGAUCAUUUUCGGUUUGGUUUUUUUAAAAAAACCAAAACCGGUUCAAACCGACCGGUUUCAGUUUGACUCGGUUUUUUCUGGUUUGGAUAUGUUUUUUUCGAUUUAGGUUUGGUUUGGUUUUUCAGUUUCAAACUUAUAAAACAAAAACCAAACCGAACUGGUCGGUUUUUCUGGAAAGAUAUAAUUGUUUCAAAUUGUUUGAUGAAGGCUGGUCUAGAUCAUAAAUAAUUGUCAUUACACAGUGCCGGUCUAACUUGAAAGAUGUUAAUGCCCCAUUAAUUGCGACGCCUAAGCUCAUAAACGAUAUCCAUGAAUUAUGAUGACCAUUAAGGAAGCUCAUAGGAACUCCUUAAUUUCAAGUUGCUUCUUAAUUUGUCUUCUUGGACAUGCAUGUGAUCUAAAGGAACAAAGGGAAAUUAAAUGCUUAAGCAUGAAUGUGAUCGUUCUAUAUAUGUUCGUCUUCAAGCUUUGAAAUUUUUAUAGCUCAAUUAUUAUAAUUUUUUUUAAUUUUUUUAUGUGGGAAAAGAGUAUCAAAAUUGUGGGAAAUAUAUAUUAGAAUAUUUCAUGGACUGCACUGCUCUAUGAUUGUGCAUUUAUAACCCAAUUAUUAUUAUUUUUUCUUUUUCCUGUUGAUUGCAUUUUGGAAUCCAUUUGAUUAGACAUAAUUUGAACUGGAAGAAUGAAUUGGGUUCACCUUCAUUUGUUCUGUUUUAAUGUGACUGAGAGCCUUAUUUUUUUAAAUGUAUUGUCACUCAUUUAGAUACUGGCUAAGUAGAGUUUGCAGUCAGAUUAACAUACAGUAUGCAUUCAUUCCAUUAAACCCUAAUGGAGUGAAUGAAUAAAAUGACUUUUAUUAAAUGUUCCUCUACUACUUGGAUGCUGAACUGGAGUAUUGGAGGUUCCCACAUUGCCCCAUUGUUGGUAUAUUCACCACAAGAAUUCACAGUUUUAUCGAGGGCAAUAUUCCGUCGGUGUGUGAUUGAUAGUACUUCGGUAAAUUAUUUACCGACUAAAUUACCGACAGAAUACGUCUGUCAGCUUACCUUUCAUCGGUGAUUCCACAUUCCGUCGCUUUAUUGAUCGGAAAAACAAAAAAAAUCAUUUACCGACGGUUUUACAGACGGAAUUUGCGUGCCAAAAAAAAAAAGUUUCCCGCUUCAAAAAUACCGACGGAUUUUUAUUCCAUCGGUGAUAUCACAAGUCACCGACGGUUACUUUCCGUCGGUAAAUUAGUCGGUGAAUUGUUGAAAUACCGAUAGAAUAUAUUGUCUGUCAAUUCGUCGGUAACUUGUAAUACCGACGAAAUUAUUCCAUCGGUAAAUCUGUUGGUGAGUCAUGAAAACACCGACCGAAUUUAUCUGUCUGGAAAUUUGUCGGUGAUGGUUGCGGCUACUGUCUAAUACCGACGGAUUUAUUCCGUCGGUAAAUCCCUUUAUAAUUUUUUUUCUAUUUUUUUUAAUAAUUAUUUAGAAUACAUAAUAUAAAAAGGAUAUAAAUUAAUGGUAAUAAAAACCAAUUAUGCAAAUAAAAUUUAUAUUAAGCAUCAAAAACAAAAAAUGAAAGAUAAAUAAUAUUCAUUACAAAAUGAAAUGUUUCAAAAAAACAUUAAAUGAAAUUUUAAAUGUAAAUAAUGUUUAUUAAAAAUUAAUAUAGAGGAGGAGGAGGUGGAGGACGCUGGCUGUUAGGCGGCCAAAAAGGAUUGGGUGCACAUGUUCCACCUUGUGCCAUGUUCAUGACUAUUUGACGAAGCUCUUCAUAGGUCGCUCAUUAUUGUUCAGAAUCUGCUCUGCAUUGUUCUUUGAGUUGUGUGUACGCCUCUGACAGGUGGUCGCACUUUUGCUGCAAGGCCAUGAACUCCUUAGAUUGGGAGCUCGAUACUGAUUGGGAGCUCCUGACGGUUGAAGCAGUAUGGGUCGUCCGCAAGUUGUCGGUCGUAGUGUUGGAGAGCCCGUAAACCCGAUUUUUAUCGAGUCCACUUGAUGAUCCAGCCUCCAUCCACAAAUCCGGAUCGAAUUCCGGAUGGGUCGAAGGAUCGUCCCUGUAUGUCUCCCUCAACCGAUUAUUAUAGGUCUCCUGAAAAUAAAAUAAAAAGUAAUCAUCAUAUUCAAUUCAAUAAACAUAAUAAUAACUUACAAAAUAAAAUUGUUGAACAAACAUACCACAAAAUGUUGAGCACGGCUGUCAACGAACUGUUGCACCCCCUGUUGGCGGUCUUGACUCCGCACGUGCGUCUCCACAAAUAGCUCCAUAGGGCUCGGCUCACGUCCAAGAGACAUAGCCUAUAAUGAAAAAAAUUUAUUAACAACAAAUUAAUUAAACGAUAUAUUUCAUUUAAAUUAAUCUUACCAUCCGUUUUGCAUGUGCAGCAAACGGAACGGAGCCGCCGGUGUGCGUUGUCACCGAGCCAUGAAUUGGCAGAUUCCAGUUGCCAGCACCGGACUAUGAGCAUCGUGUGAACUGCUCAGACGUCACGUGCUGAAUAUAGUGCGGCCAUAUAUCUUCCGGGAAGUAUAUCGGUUUGAAAUCCCUCCAAACCGCAACAUCGUUCCAGCCUUGGAACCCCCUAUCCCUCGCAGGUUUUUUUGCCUUUUUUUAGGCUUCGUACCAAAAAUCACGCAACCUACUUCACGCAAGCAAAAAUUACAUUUCGAAACAUAAAUUUUUUUGUAAAAAAAAAAGUUGUAUUGUUUUCGUUGUUACCUAGUUGCUGCGUGAUUUUCCUACACCCUCCUCACAACAGUGUUAUAUUCCUCGUUCCAACAUAAUCGAUUAUGUGUAUAAAAAAAUAAUUUUUAAAAAUGUUAAUAAUUUAUUUACAAUUAUAUUAAGAAUUUAUUAGAAAUAAGCUGAAAAUUAUAUAUAACACGAACCUGAAAUCUGGAAAACCAUGGAUUGAUUUGAGGCAUCCAUUCAGGAUGCCUGGUUAUCUGACUCCAAUGAAACAAUGGAUUCUCCAUCGAUGAUUUAAACACCGCUGAUAUUACUCGGGCGACCUCAAUGUUUGUGAACCUGAAAAGAAAUGAAAUUAAUUAAAUAGUGACUUCAUAAAUUAUGUUUUUAAUUUUUUUUUUUAAAAAAACUAAAACCUUAACAAACUGACAUUGAAAGAUCGUCUUUUCAUUAUGCCUUGUACUUGCAGGAAAAUCGAUUUCGCUGUGAAGGCACGCCGCUUUUGGGCUGUGAAACAACGCUGGAAGAGGCAGCAUCGGUUGACAGCACAAGUGGUGUAGGUGCCUCUUCUUGAGAGUCACCUAAGGAAAUAUCUUCCUCGCUGCUAGACGAACCUGAUGCGUCCGGACGUGAAGCUCUGGUUUUCAUUCUGUGCAUCUAACCAGUUUUAUAUAAAUAAUUAUAUAAUUAAAUUGAAAUGUUAAAAAAAAAUUCGGCAACACCUCCCCUAUACUAGAUACUACCCAAAUCCACAAACUUGCAAAUAUUAACAAUAGCCACAACCAAUUGACCCAAUCUAUACUAAUUAUUCCAACAUAUUCAAUUACAAAUCCUAAGGUCAAUUCAACAUUAACAAUUACAAUUCAACAAAUUAUUCAAUAAUUAUGCCAAUACAACAAUAAAAUAUAUUCAAUAAAUUAAAAAAUAAUUAUAAACUAAAAAUUAAAAUCAAUGGAAACAAUUAAACACAAAUUAUGCAAUAAUAGAGUAAAAUUACUACGUAUUCCAACAUAUCCAAUUACUAAUUCUAAGGUAAAUUCAACAUUAACAAUUAUAAUUCAACAAAUUAUUCAAUAAUUAUGUCAAUACAACAAUAAAAUAUAUUCAAUAAAUUAAAAAAAUAUUUUAAACUAACAAUUAAAAACAAUGAAAAUAAUUAAACACAAAUCAUGCACUAAUAGAGUAAAAUUACUAAUUAUUACAACAUAUGCAAUUACUAAUUCUAAGGUAAAUUCAACAUUAACAACAAAUAUUCAACAAAUUAACUAAUAACAAUUAUGCCAAAACAACAAUAAAAAAUUUUCAAUAAAUUUUUUUAAAAAAACUAUAGACUUUAGGGAAGAAAUAUGCAUACCUUAAUAAUGUGUUGAAACAAAAAAUUUAUCUACAUUACAAAAAAAUACAACAAAACAAAAAACAUAAAAAGCAUAAAAAUAACUAUAAAUAAAAUAAAAUAAAAUAGAAAAAACACACAUACCUUUUAAUAUGAUGAAGAUUCACAACCAAGCUUGCUAGAGAUUCAACAAAGCUUGAAGAUUUGAGAGGAAAAAAAUCAAAAUUCUAAGAACUUAUAGAAACCUUAGGUCUAUUUUCACGGGCGACAAGCCCACCCAUACUCACUCUGGUCUAUUUUCACAGGCGACCUGCCCACACUCUCACAUUGGUCUAUUUUCACGGGUGACCUGCCCUUUUUAUUGGGUUUACCUAAGAUCCCAUCUUGAGAUCUAACAAGAACAAAAAUCGGUGUGUAGCUCGAUCAACCUGAAAUCCCAUCUAGUAAUUCCCUUUAGCUAGAGCCAAGGUCUGUGCGGUUAGACUGAACUGAGAUCCCUUCGCCGAUCCCCUUCAACCAGAACCAAAAUCCUUUCCAAUUAGGUUAAACUGAGAUCCCUUUGCCGAUCCCCUUUAACCAUAACCAAGGAAUGUGUGGUUAGACUGAACUGAGAUCCCUUCGUCGAUCCAUUUCAACCAGAACCAAAAUCCUUUCCAAUUAGGUUAAACUGAGAUCCCUUUAUCGAAAAUUAACCAACCAAGGAAUAGUUAGACUGAACUGAGAUCCCUUCGUCGAUCCCCUUCAACCAGAACCAAAAUUUUGGUUAAACUGAGAUCCCUUCGUCGAUCCCCUUAACCAUAACCAAGGAAUGUGUAGGGUUGGGCUAGACUGAGAUUCCUUUCGGCAAUCCCCUCUAACCAGAACCAAAAUCCUUUCCAAUUAGGUUAAACUGAGAUCCCUUUGCUGAUCCCCUUUAACCAUAACCAAGGAAUUAUGUAGGGUUGGGCUAGACUGAGAUUCCUUUCGGCAAUCCCCUCUAACCAGAACCAAAAUCCUUUCCAAUUAGGUUAAACUGAGAUCCCUUCGUCGAUCCCCUUUAACCAUAACCAACGAAUGUGUGUAGCUCGGUCAACCUGAAACCCCAUAUAGAGAUUCCCUUUAACCAAAGCUACAUGAGAUCCCAUCUAGCGACCUCAUUCAACUGGAACAAAAGAAUGUGUAAAAAGUGGUCUCAUUAUAAUGGGUGACCUACCCAAGUGGAAAGGAGGAAGAGUGGUCUCAUUCUUAUGGGUGACCUACCCAGGGGGAAAGAAUAUGAAGUGCGGUCUUAUUAUAAUGGGUGACCUACCCAAAAUGGAAAAAAUAUAAAGUGUGGUCUCAUUGUAAUGGGUGACCUACCCAGAUGGAAAGAAUAUGAAAAAGUGCGGUCUCAUUGUCAUGGGUGACCUACCCAGAUGGAAAGAAUGUGAAGUGCGGUCUCAUUGUAAUGGGUGACCUACCCAGAUGGAAAAAAUAUCAUGAAGUGCGGUCUCAUUGUCAUAGGUGACCUACCUAGAUGGGAAAAAUAUGAAAAAUGGUCUUAUUAUGACGGGCGACCUACCUAGAUGGAAAGAAUGUGAUAUGACAAGUGUGAAAAAUAGGACUUACCUGGCGAAGUCUUGAGGGGAUGACAGAAGAUGGGCUGGAAAACUUGGUGCUUCAUGAUAAUCCCCGAUCAUAGGGUUUGAAAACUUGGUGUUUCCUGACUGCAAGAGUUGAAAACUCGAGGCUUCACGAUUGCAAGGUUGAUCUCUUCAUUUCUUUGGGAUUUUCCUAAUGGCAAGGUUCAUCCCAUCAUCCUUUUAUUCCAUGAUCAAAAUCGAUUCUUUAUUAUCAUCACCAUAGUGCUUCUUUCUUUUUUCAACAUCUUGCUGGACCUCAUUAAGGAUUUUCCUGUAACAAUUCAAAAAUAUAUGCAAAUGGUUUUUUUUUUUUUUAAGGUUAGAUGAUAUGCAUGCAUCCUUACCUGAUUUGAAAUAUAGGUCCCCCCCUCUUUGAUGCUCCAUCGUCAUAGGGUGCCCUUGUUUGUAUCCCAAAACUUUCUUUGUUCUUCCGAUACAUUGGCUCAUUCAUGUGCUAGCCAUCCACUCAGCUGUAAAUGCAGUGCCCAUCCCGAGCUGUUUUUGACAAUUACUGCUUGCAUCGUUCAUCAAGCUUGACCCUUCCCCCAAGUGUGGUACUGCUUGAUUCAUCAUGAAGGAUUUUCUCUCCUGGCUUCUUCUAAGAAUUAUCCUCUGAUUGAUUGUGUGCAUCAUGCCAAUACCCAUCAAGAUUGUUAAUCAGUCAUGAACUUGCCUCUAGUUGAAACAAUACUGUUCAAGUACAUGUUAUCAUUAGCCUUCUUGGAACUCAUUCAGUCAUCCAGUCAUGCAUCUCAUAGCUUGCACUACAAAGGCUCAUGGUUGUAUGCUCAGUGUUCUUCUUAAUAGAUUCCCUUCAACUCAGCCUCAUCAAUGAUGCUGCUUUUAUCACUCAUACUCAUGCAGUGAAGCACUCAUCUGGCUUCAAAACAAGUUAUCCCACAGUCAGUCUUCGAGGUGGGUGCCUUUCUGACAUUCAUUCAAUGCAGUUGUGUGAUAACAUCUUCCGAUAAACAUGUUUCAAAGGAUGACAAUAUGACAUUGUCCUUUAAGUGAAGCAUUGUUCCACAGUCAGUCUUGGUGGUAUGCAUCUUUUCUCCAUUCAAUUACAUUCAUCUGUGUAUCUUCAUCGAUCGCUAGCCAUGUUUCAAAAAUGAUGAUAUGAAAGUGUCCUUCAAGUACAUCUUGUUUCUCCAUUGCCGACAGGGUUCACUAAGCAUGGGCCAUUUUGGAAUGACAUUGCCCCCAGUAUGAUCUGAAUGUGCUCGUUCAUUGAUUAUCUGUCUUUGAACAUCAUUGUCUUCAGUUCACUGAUUCAUCAUUUAAUCAUUGCCUCAUAGCUGAUCUGAGCACUGCUUGUUUUUCCUUUUCAAGGUCUACUGUAUUGCCCCCAGCUGCUCAACUUUUCAAGGAGUGUCGAGGACUUCAAUGUCAUUUCUAUCAACGAUUUUGCAUACUCAAUCAAUGUUCUUCUGUGUUUGAUAAUCUUCCUUGUUCUGGAAUCAACUCUCAUAUUUCAAAGAUCAUGUCUAUUCAAAGUCUAGUUUGUUGAAAUGAAAUCAGAGAUGUCCUUUUUGAAAAUCUUUUGAAAAUCAAGCUUUUUGAUCAAAGACCCAACACACGUUAUUCGAAAUACACAGUCCUUUGAUUGUCAUGCAUUUUAAAAACAUAAAUUGACCCAAUGUAGGAUUAAAAAUGGUUUUUUCCAUGGUUCUUUGUAUCAAUUUGAAUCCUUGAUAUUGGGUAUAUCAUUUGAUAGUCUAUGAUGAGGUGACCUUUUCGUGAAUUUCAAAAGCAAGGCACUCAAGUCAACACUUAGGCUUUAUCAAGAAAGGUUGUUUCUCUUCUUAUAACUUGUUUUAUCAGCAUGCAUAAUAACCAAUAGCUUAAUUCAUGAAGUCACGACCCUUAUGGAAAAGCUCUUCAAGUUUUGAGAGCGCCAUUUAUCGGUUCAAAUUGCUUGCUUGAUUAAAAAGGGCUUUUAAAAGCAUGUAAUGCAGGCUAUGGUUCAUGGCUAUGAAAGAAAAGGAAUCUCAAAGGCUCAAAAGGUGUUUGAGGGUUUCAAAGACCUAGGAUCAACAUCAAUUAUUCAUCAACUCUUUUUUAUUGUUGUCUUUAUAGAGGAAACGACAUAUAACCUUGUUAACCUCAAAGAUCAGACUUCACUUAACAUAAGUCAUAAUGCAAAUCCACCUUUCCUUGAUGAAUAACCAACCUUAAUCAUCUGAUAACAUCAGAGGCUUUAUAAUGGACACCAAAAGUCACGUUUAUAACUUAGUCUUUUUUCUGGUAUUGAGUUUUGUUGUGCCUUUCCUUGAUUGAAAUUUCUUUUGCUCUUCAUAGACUUGAUAGGCGUUCUCCUUCCUUUAUCUUUGACUUGUAUUUAAGUGAGGGCAAAUUUCAACUUCCUUUUUUUUCAUUCUCUUUUUUUUCAUAGCCUUCCUCAAAAUUUUCUUAUAUGCCCCCAGUCUAUGUGUUUUCUUUUAUUUCUCUCUCAAUCAUUGGACCUUUGUUCUAAACCUUCCCCUUUAUCCAUUAAUUAUAUCAAUGUCUCCAACAAAUCUCUCAUCUGCCCCCAGUGUGGGGUGUGAUCCUAGUCAUGGUUUUUUUUUAAAGAAAAUACUUUACCAGGCUCAAAAUGGGACUACAAGGGAUAUAAUCUUUAGAAAGUGAAGGGAUAUCAAAGAUGGCCUUUUCUCAUUUCAAGCAAGGUCGGUUAGAACCGAUAAAUUUUGACCCAUCCAGUGUAAUGAUUGGGACUUGUAAGAAUCAUGAUUCACGAGUCCAUAACUACCGAAUCCACUACAUGUCAUUAUGCAUACUGUUAAAACUUAGCUAUAUGAUGUGUGGUUCAGUUUCAGGAGGUAUGAGUUCAAAAUUGUUUAGUCACCUCAUGUCAUUUUCAAGCAUCGAGUCAUUUCUGUAAUCAAAACACUUUUAAUCUUCAGGAUUGAUUAACCUUUAUCGCAUGUUGGAGUUUGAUCAAAAUAUUUUGUCAGAAUAAAAUGCUAAACAUCUGUUGAUUUCAAAACAACAAAGAGACAAAAGCAAGGCAUGUUUCGUUGAAGGAUGAGAUGUGAUCCCAAAACAAAAUGCAGAAUUCCAUAACAAUAUGAUUGAUUGUUCAUCACCAUUCUUGAAUCAGCUUUUCUGGCAAUAUCUGUGUUUUGCCAAGCACUUUCGAUCACAUGUCAUUUUGAAGAUGUUCGGGGGACAAUAUAGCCAAUGACACCCUCCUUCACCGACUCCACUUGUCUCUUGCUCACCAACUUUCGGACUCAAUUCUUGCAAUUCUUGCAAUUGUUCACUUGAAAUGGUUGAGGACCCCACCAUGACAUCAUAUCUCUUGUCUGGAUUAUACCACCUAGAAAACGGUGGUUGCAUGGGAUUUGUCGGAGUCUAGCAAGUCUAGAAUCUGGCAGAUGCUGGCAAAUAAACUCAUAUGACAACUAUUCAAUUGAAAUUCUUGCAACUAUUCCAUUGAAAUGGCCGAGGACCCAACCAUGACAUCACAUCUCUUGUCUUGAUUAUACCACCUAGAAAAUGGUAGUUGCAUGGGAUUUGUCAGAGUCUAGCAAAAGUCUAGAAUCUGGCAGAUUCUGGUAAAUAAACCCACAUAGCAAAGAAUGUCUAUCUUUGGCAAAGACAUUGGAGUAGUCGAUGAUACAACAAGACUUGGUUGGACCAACAUAAUUAAGGUUUUCCAUCGUCAGAUUCUUCUUUUGAUUCAUCUCUCAUCGUUUCUCUAGAAUCCUUGGCAGAACCUUCAAUCUUUCCCAUCUUGAUAGCUUGUUCAAUUUUUGGCAAUCCACACAACUUCAUGUCAAUCUUCCAAUGUUGUUGUUGUUGUUUUAGGAUUGUUGGAAACCCGUCAAUAUCUAGGUAAUCCUGGCAGUGCGCAAAAACAAAAAUGUAUGGAAUCAUAUAUUGUCAAAAUUGGAAGAGAAACUGAUGAAUCCACAACUCCUCUAUUUCCUCUUUGAUUCCUCACUGACGGUGCAACAAACAUCCACUUUUGUGUUUUAAUGCCAAUACUAGUAGGAGAAAAUUGUGGACAAUCUGAAAACCACUGCAUCCCUUCUUGGAUUUCCCAUUUACAGAUCCAUAAAUAGAUUCCUGCCGAGAGAUCUCUGCAACGGUGAAGUUUGAUGUCUGCUCCAUGUUUUUCAAACCAAAUCUGGCUCUUCAACAUGCUACAGUUUCUUCAUGCUGAAACUAAUGAGAGAAAUAUUUGUAGCAUAUGCAAUUAGUAAAUCCUCUCUUGCACUCUCAACUUGCAACAUCAUAAACAGAUUUCUGUAGAGAAAGCUCUGCCACGUUGAAGUUCGACGACUACUCAUAUUUUCAGACCAAGCCUGACUCCUCUGCCUAGUACGAUGUUUUGCUCGUGCCACUGGUGGGAAAAAAGUUUCAAAGCAUAUGAAAUUAAUACAUCCUCUUUUGUAUUUCCCAUUGGCAGAUCCAUAAAUAAAUCUCUACAAAGAGAGCUCUACCACGUAGAAGUUCAGUGUAUGAUCAUGGUUUUCGGACCAACAUCUUGUGCUGCUGACUGAAAUUGAGCUCAUAAUUAGGGUAACUUCAAAGCAGACUAAUGCACCAUGUACAGGAGGCUAGUAGUUGUUUGGUUCCAUUAGAUGAUGUGGAGGCGAUGAACACUUAACAGUGCAACUAGACAAGAACUAGAGUUGUCAUUAGUUGAUGACUGAAGGCAUUGUUGCUGUUGUUCAUGACUGAAAAGGAGAGGCAACUUCAAUUGAACGUGGACAAGCAGUGUUCCCACAGAAGACUGUGUAGACAUUCUCUUUCCAUUUGAUGCUCGACACUUGUUCGAGCAGAUCUGAGUCUAGCUACUUCACCUUUGAUGCUCUCAACCUCAAUCUGAUAAUGAGCCUCUAUCUAACACUUUUCUUCACCUCUAUCAUUUUUCUUCAAUCACGUGCAGCACAGCUUGUGCGGGGGACCUACCUUUCAACCUGGUACAUGCAUGAUAAAUGUAUGAAUAUGUAAUCUAUAUGACAAACUCGCCCUUCGAGGGGUGACAUAUGGUCGCAACUCUUGUAUGAUGAAACAAGAAUCUUGAUUCUUGCACAAACUCUACAAUGAAAAUGUUCUGAGCGACGGUCAUUGUGUCACCCAUAAGUCUGGAGUUCAAGAUGCUUCAAAAAGGGCUUGCUCGGAUGCAAAACAAUGUAUACGGAGCAUACAUCCUAAAGGUAGAUUCUAAUCUUUUUAAGUGAGACAAAAGGUAGGAUAUCAUCUUCUUCAUCGACAUUUGCUUGUCCGCUAGAGCUCAAAACAACGUUCAACUCCUCUACGUCAACAUCAACAAGACUAUCAUCGAAAACACGAAAAUUUGAAUUUUCUUCCAAUUCAAUCGAAGGAGCAACUCGAUAUGGUUCAACCAACUCACUAACUUGAAAGACUUCAUCCCACACACUUGUGUCUUCGUUCUCAUCCUAAACAACCUCGACACGACCCCGUGGUUUUGUUUUUAAAACGAACAACCAAUCAACUCUUGAUCGAUCCUUUCUAAAUGAAGGGGUGUAUGUGUAAUAAACUUGUUGACAUUACUUUGCGAAAACAAAGACAUCGUUUAUGUUGCAGAGUCUAGCUUUUGAGUUGAUUUCGACUAGACCAUGGUGUGUAUCAACUCUGAUUCCUCUGUCCGUCGUGUCAUACCAAUAGCGUUUGAAUAAAAACACUGUAUUCUGCUCGCUAUGAUAUUGUAGUUCGACGACCUCUUCUAAUCUUCCAUAGUAGUCAACUUUUAACUCACUACUUGUGGAUCCUUUAACACAAACACCACAGUUGUAUGUCUUUCUUCAUUGCCCGUAUUCUUCAGUAUGGAAAACAUAUCCAUUGACAAAAUACUUGUUAUAGCACUUAACUUUUCUUUCAGGCCCGAGGCUUAGUGAAGGCAAUGACUUAGACGCACUUCUUCCCAUUUGAUAAACCUUGUAUACAUGUAAUGUACAUCAAUAAACGGUAAAUGAACGAGAAUCUUGUAAUGACAUGCAUACGUACAGUAAUUUUGCAAGUUAGAAUGAGUUUGUGAUAGUGCUUACAUGUGUUCUAAACCAUGUGGCAAAUUGUUCAUCUUGUAAUUGAAAGAUCUGGGAGUCGGUCAGCUGCGAGUUAUUGGAGAGCAAAUAUUGUCGAUGUUGCCUGCAAGUGAUAAUGAGUGUAUGAUUUCACAAUAUAUAAUUAGCAGUAUAUUACUGACAAAGUUUAAAUAGUAUUACACAUAUAUAAACUUACUGAAUAAAUGGUCUUAACUCUUCACAGUUAAAUAGAACAUAGUUGUGUGCUUGUUUGAAUUCUAUUUCCGACAAAUAUCUUCCUCUUGUCGCACGUCAAAAACAAAUCCGUGCGCGGCAUCGACUGGCGAUUAUUCGUUCUGUUUUGCUGAUUUGGUUCUUUAGAGUCGCCACCUAGUAAUUCAUUGAGGGCUACUAGGAAACCUGAUGUACUGGACUUGUCAGAGAUCGCGGGUAAGGGACUGGUUGUGGUUAGGGAAGGUAUUAGCACCCCUAACGCACCCUACCUGAGGUAAGCUGCUUUGUGGACUUGAUGUGUUAAAGAAGUUUUAAAAAUUAUGUUCUUUCAUCGAAUUUUAGAAAAUACAACUUACAUGUAAGUUCAUAAUUCUUUAUCCGUGAUCAAAUCAGAAUAUUAAAUUCUUCUUUAUUCUUGCAAUUUUAUCAUAAUAAAAAAAACAUUCAUAAACAAAAAUACACACCACAUUCACUUUCAAGCUUUGUGGACUUGAUGUGAUAUUAAAAAUAAAAUUUUAGCCCAAUUAUAAGGCUUUGAUAAAUCAGUUAUUACUUUUCCAGACUAUUAUGUAGAUACAUGUUCUACAUUUCCAUGGAAAAUUCAACAUGAUUUUUAUCUGUCCUUUAGAUAUUUGUGCAUAUAAAAUAAAUUCCUUUUUUUUUAUUCAAUAACAUUCAAAAAAAAAAAUACAAGCACACAAACAUUUUUUUUAUUAUUAUUAUCACUUUCUCUGUCUUUUCUUUUCUUUUCUUUUACAUCCUUUUUUUUGUUCUUUUUAUACAUUACCUUACAAAUUAUAAAAACAAAUCAAACUAAAUAAAAAUGACAUUACAUAAUUUACAAUUUACAAAAACAGUCCCUAAACUCAAGAAAUUGCAUUGAAGGACACUGCCGGAACUGCCCUGAACUUGUGGCGGCGCGUCUUCCCACGUGCCACCGUCACUGGCGGCGCGUGAAUCUAGAAACAGCGGGAUCUGGUUCGGCUUCUCUCCUUCUUCCUUUCCUCGCCAGCGGUGAGCAACGCCGUCACCUGUAGAACACAAAAACGCAAGCAACAGUCUGUUUUAGUUAAUUUUUAGAUCUGUUUUCCAUCAUUAUCUGCUUCCCUUUCUUCUUUCUCCGGUCUAUUCUUGGGGAUUCACCAUCUUCUUCUCUGCUCAGGUAGUCGGGCGGCGGCUGGUUGAUGGUGGAUCUAUGGCCGGAUGUGGACGGCGCUGCUGGAGGAAGGCGUUGCUGCCUGAUUGUCGGUUGCGGUUGGUGCUGGACCUGUGGGGGCUGCCGUUGAAGGGGCUGGAAGUCAGAUCGUCUGAGAGAGAGGAGUGGUGGUUGAUUCUCCGUACCUGGCGAGAAGAAAAGGAAGUCUGAUCUGGGAGGAUCGGCCGGGGAAGCGGCUGAAGGAAGAAGAAAAACCGAAUCUAGAGGGGGGGAAACGGCGACCAGUUUUGAAAGGAAGCAGGUUCGGUUUUGGCCAGCGUUAUGAUCACGAUCGGUGAUGGGGUUCGGUGAGGAGGGGAAGAUCGGCUGUGGAGUGUGGUGGUGAGCGGCUGAAAAAAUCAAAGAAAAGGGGGCUCUGGUGAGGCCAAGAAGGAAAAAUUGAUUCGCCGGCUGUAAAAGGGAGAACCGGUUUUGGUUUGGGUGUGUCUGUGUUUGGUGCCAUGUCAUGUGCUCAGUAGUCCUUCGUGACAUGAAUAACCUCUGCAGUCUAGGUGUGAUCGGGAAAUAUCUAAGUUUUUCCCCUGCCAGUUCUGGGUUUGUAACGGGAAUACCCGCAUGUCAUGCACUCGGUCAUCUCAGCAUUUUCAAGGUAGUAUAACAUGUAGAAGUUAGGGCACAUGUCAAUUUUAUGGUAUCCUAAACCAAGGGGUUUCAUCAUGGACUUCGCAACAUAGAAGUUCUCUUUCAGCCUGUUCACUUCAGGUAAAAUGCUUCUUGCCCAAUCAAUAAUUUUUUCAUACCCGGCCUCACUCAGCCCGUGAUCUGACUUGAUGGUGAACACCUGUGCCACGGGCGACAAUUUACUGUGGUUUGUGCAGCCAUCCCAUAAUGGUUCGUCAGAAUCUUUCAACAAAUCAAAAAACCUAGCUGCCUCUGCAUUAGGUUCUUUUUCUACGAUUGGACAUUGAUUGACAUUACCUUGAUUCAUUCUCAUUGCAUCCAUAACCACAUUUCUGUAAGGAUUAGUGUUGUCAUUUCGCUUCAUGCACGUUGCUAGCACUAGAAGUUGACCCAACCACCGUUUCUCUCAUUCUCCUAUUACUAACAAAUACCUCUCCAUGUGCAUACCAACACUGGUAAUCCUCAAACCCUUUGUGUAGAAGAUGCAUCAUUACAACAUCUGGAUGCAGAUACUUUUUAUUUUGACACUUCCUGCAUGGACACCUAAUACCGCCUCCAGUAAAAUUUCUGGGAAUAGAUGUUGCGAAAUUAAUAAAACCCUGAACCCCGUUACAAUAAUCCAUCCUCCGCAAUCCUUGGGUGAAUCUAGAUACAUCCAUGAACGAUCAUCCAUGACUUCUAUCGAACCUCUAUAAAAUUAUGAUGACAUCAUGUAUUAAUUAACUAAGUUAGGUAAAUAAACUUGCAAAAAUAUUACUUUACCUCGAGAUUAUCCAACAAACCAAUCACAACUUCUCAUAAAUAUUAAAUAUUCAUUAUCAUUUAUCAACGUCCAUACAAAUUAAUAUAUAUAAAUUAACAGAAAUUACCACUCUGCAAUACCAUCGAUAAAACUUAAAAAGGACCCAUUAAGCAAGCUAUUAAUUAUUUCAAAACAGAACAUGUAAUUCGGUAAUUCCACAAAGUUUUAACAAUUUACAAACAAAUACAAUCUUACAAAAUCUAAAACAAACCAUAACAGGUAUAAAAUUAUACAUUCAUAUACUACAAGUUUGUUUGAGAAAUAACAAUAAAACAUGUACAUCUACUAACAAAAAUACAUAUACUAAAAAACAAUAAAAUUGACAUUUAAAUGUUAAAAUUUAAAUAGAUAGAAUUACUUACAAAAAUUGAUAAAAUCCGUCGGUAAAUCAGAACACGGAUGUUGUGACCACAAAAUUUCAAGAAAUACAACUUGUUGUGUUGAGAUGAGCAAGAUUUUUAUUUGGGGGCAAGGGGGGGCUGAUUAUUUGCAGAUGGGGAGAGUUAGGAUUAGGAAGAAAAAGGAGAUAUGGGGAAGGAGAGUGUCGACAGAGUGGCCAUAUAUUUACUUUUUCCGACGGCCUCAUCGACGGAAUAACACCGUCGGUGACUCCGUAGGUCAUUCCGACGGGAAAUCGACACGUCACCGCACGAACCUGCUUUUCAAAUCCCUCGGUGAUUCCGUCGGUAUUUUUUAUGGUGCAACGGUCGCGUCACCCAUACGGAUCUGCCGUUUCAAUUCUGUCGGUGAUUCCGUUGGUAUUUUGAAGUCCCAUGACACGUACUUGUCAACCAUUUUGAAUCCGUCGGUGAUUCUGUCGGAAAAAUCACCCGCCAAACCUCCACGUCAGCUACCCGCCCUUUUUUCAUUAAUUUUGAUUAUUCUGUCCGUAAUUCGGUCGGUAAUUACCAACCAAAUGACGGACAGAAUAAUUCCAUCGGUAAUUUCGACCGAAAAAUACCGACAAAAAUAUUCCUCGGGGAUUCCGUUGAUAUUAAGCGAAUUUCUGGUAGUGAUUUGAGCAACUCUGAAACAUGAAGCUAGUCAAUAGGCGUCUAUAAGUUGUACAGAGAUUUUACAAUAGAAACUAUUCAAGUAAGAUUUUGGUGCAAUCAGUAUUCUAUAUGCACGAACAAAUUUGGGGCUUCACUGUACUACCUCAGAUACUCUCAAAAAAUGCUUCUUGGAAUUCGGAAGUUUAGACGAUCAUCGGUUAACAUGUCUGGUGUUGGUGCUUCAUGAAAUGAUGUUACCGUUUCUCUUUCUGAACGUUAUUCCAGGUUGGAAAUUCAAGUAAUUAGUUCAAAUCCUAGAAGAUGAGUGGUGGCUUAGAAUGCUGUGAAAAAAUCGUUCCCCUGUUCAUUUUUCAAAUUAGAAAAGACAUAACUUUUUGCUUGAACUUCUAGAAUAUAAAAAAAUCUUACUUUUAUAUCUAGACACUUUCCAUCUAUGAUCUUUAAAUCUGAAGACAUAUCAUCUGGUUUUAAGAAAGUGCUAUUAACAUACCAAACUUUAUUAGAUUGUUGUUGUGCACUUAGGAAGAAAUAAAAUACUUGUCCUCUAUUGUUUUCAAUAGCAUGAUCAGCUUCAUAGUUUUCUACGUUGUCUUUUUACUAGAAGUACCUUCGUGAAUGUUGGGAAUUUCUGUCUUUUGCAUCUAUACCAGCACUCUUUUACUUAGUGUCCACCUCAUUUUCAAGUUCAUGUCGCUGGAUCCAGCGGUCAAGAGAAAAUCAUGUCAUUGACACUAAUUUAGACCAUCAAAAUGAUUGAUAUUUGUGUUAAAUGGUUCCUUUUAACUGAGAGAAUUCAUAUUAGGUGUUUUUCUUACCUUUAAAGUUUGUGAAAAAACAAAUAUUAUCUCAAGCUGAUUUUUGGUUUCAUGUUCAUUUCUAUUUUUUAGAGGGUUUGUUGGUUUUUUAGGCUAAAAAUAUGUUUAUCAUGGUUCUUAAGGUUUUUUAUAGGUGUUUUGGGUCAAAAUGAGUUUUGAGUAAAAAAACUUAAGCCUUGAUUUUUCAACCACUACAGUGGUUGGAAUCCGGAUAAGAUCAGACGACGCGUUGUCUGUCUCAAUAGGCAACGCAUCAUCUGAUUGUUUUAAAAAAAUAGAGGUGGACGACAUGUCAUCUGCUCUAAGUGCAGCGAAAAAAAUGGGUCCAGUUAGGUGAGCCCUAAUGAAAUGGGCCAGGCCAGGCAACACUUGACCGUUUUUUCCCUUAUUUUUUUCAAUUCAUCCUUAUUUUUAUAUGUUUUUUUGUAAAAUAAAAAAAUAUUUAUAUUUAGAUUAAUACCUCUUUUCUUUUUGUAUUUUGUUCAGAAAGUCUUUUAAAUGAUGAUUAUUUUUUUGUUAUGUUUUUAAUUUUUGAAGAGGUCUUUCUGAUUCAUUUAUAUUUUUUUUAUCGUUUAUGUAGAAGAAUUAUAUUUUUGAAAAUAAAAAAUAUUUAUUUUCAAAUAAUAUUUCUACAGAGAGGUCGCUGGAUCCAGCGAUAAAAAAGAAAAUCAUGUCGUUGACACUAAUUUAGGCCACCAAAAUGAUUGAUAUUUGUGUUAAAUGGUUCCUUUUAACUGAGAGAGUUCAUAUUAGGUGUUUUUCUUACCUUUAAAGUUUGUGAAAAAACAAAUAUUAUCUCAAGCUGAUUUUUGGUUUCAUGUUCAUUUCUAUUUUUUAGAGGGUUUGUUGGUUUUUUAGGCUAUAAAUAAGUUUAUCAUGGUUCUUAAGGUUUUUUAUAGGUGUUUUGGGUCAAAAUGAGUUUUGAGUAAAAAAACUUAAGCCUUGAUUUUUCGACCACUACAGUGGUUGGAAUCCGGAUAAGAUCAGACGACGUGUUGUCUGUCUCAAUAGGCGACGCAUCAUCUGAUUUUUUUUUUAAAAUAGGGGUGGAUGACAUGUCAUCCGCUCUAAGUGCAGCGAAAAAAAUGGGUCUAGUUAGGCGAGCCCUAAUGAAAUGGGCCAGGCCAAGCAACACUUGACCGUUUUUUUCCUUAUUUUUUUCAAUUGAUCCUUAUUUUUAUAUGUUUUUGGUAAAAUAAAAAAAUAUUUAUAUUUAGAUUAAUACCUCUAUUCUUUUUUAUUUUGUUCAGAAAGUCUUUUAAAUGAUGAUUAUUUUUUUGUUAUGUUUUUAAUUUUUGAAAAGGUCUUUCUGAUUCAUUUAUAUUUUUUUUAUCGUUUAUGUAGAAGAAUUAUAUUUUUGAAAAUAAAAAAUAUUUAUUUUCAAAUAAUAUUUCUAAUACGUGUAGCCUUGCAUAAUGUUUUUUUUUUCUUUUUAUUUUAUUCAAUCAAUCUAAUGUGUUUGUCCAUUUCUUUUAUCAAUUGAUUGAAUAAAAAUACAUUAUAAUAAUCGUGUAAAUAUCCAGUCUUGCGAUAUUAAAUAUCUUGAUCCACACAUGUAUCUUGAUUUUUCAAGUUUUAUUUUUAAGUAUUGUUAAUGACUUAUUAUUAAUUUAUUAGCACACAUAGUUCUCGGUUUACUUGAUUACAUGUAUUUUUGAUCUACACUUCAAUUUUUUGAAUUAUAGAAAUGCAUUGAAAAAACUUAUUUAUAUAAUGUUUUUAUAGAAAAUAAAAAUAUCUGAUCCGUAACGGAGCGCGGUUCAUAUAACUAGUAAAUACUAAAUUGAAGUGAUAAAAAAUAACAUAAAGCACAAGUAAAUUACAUAUACAAGUGAUCAAUGAUAGAGGCUCCUCUAUGUAUAGAUAAUGGAGCAUUGAUUCUUAAGUUUAGGGAGACACAUGGUGCCCGUGUCAGUUUAUAUUGGAUCCUGUGCUUGUAAGUAAUGAUGGAUUCUCAUGAGUCCUACUAUUUAACAUGCUUAAGAAUAAAGUUGACAUGUUGGAUAAUUGAUUGAUCUCUUAGUUCAAGUAAUCUGAUUCAUUCUUCAUAGUUAAUGUAUCUAGUGACUUGAUAUAAAAAGCCUAGUGGGUUGGUAACUGGUAGCAUGUGAUGUCUAGUAAGCUAGGUGACAGGUAACUAGUACCUAUAAAAAGUCCCAUUUGAUGGACGUGGGGAUUCUCAGAUGGUAAAGUCGAUAACUUUAUGGAAAGAGAAAGUGCAAUAAUAUUUUAAAGAGAUAUACUCUGAAAAUAUAUACAGUUAUACACAAUAGAAAAUGAAGAGAUUGUGAACCUUUAACUUGAUGGAUUCAUGGUGUAUUUAUAGCUUAUAAAUUUUAUCCUUUUAUGGAGAGGAGGGGCUGAAGUGUAAUUUCAAUAUUGUGAUAUUUUGAGUUGUAUUCCACUCAAAAUAAUAUGUAUUUGAUCAAUAUAAAAUAUCAAAAGAUGUAAGUUGGAUUUUGAAAAAUUCUCUAGUGAGUAUUGGGCUCGGAUAAGGUGCCCGAGCCCAUUGGAGGUGAAAGCAGGUUCGGGAGUACUACCUGGACUCAAACACACUAAGCUCAGGCGUGAAAACCUGUUCCCAUGAUGGCUAUAGGGUGCAUGCCCAACACCAUUUGGGCGUACACCCUACAUAGGUACACAUACAUUGGGGUGUAUUGAGCGUACAUACACUGGGCAAAUGCCCAAUGCACUGCAUAAUGCCCAUGCAUUAGACGUUCAUACGCCCAUUAAGGAGCAUGGGCUUGGGCUCCUUGCCCGAGCCCAUGUUCUUGGUGCGUGGAUAGCCCGAGCUCAUGUUCCUUGGGUGGUUUUUGAGUUUUUUUUUUCUCUUUUAGAGGAUUUCUUUGGGUCUAUUUUGAGGGAUUUUUUUGGUCAAUUUUAUUUGUAUCCAUCAGAUUCUAUUAUCAAUUUAAAAAGUCUGAAGUGAUAGAUUAAAAAUAUAUUUUGUAUAUAAGUUCCUCAUUUUCCAUUCGUAACCCAACAACACAUCUUGAAACAUUAAACUGACUUAAACCUUCAAAUAGAGAAUUGAAUUUUAAUGAAAUUUAACCUUUUUUUACAAUAUCUGACACUAAGCAACGAAUAGCUUCUAUAAAGAGGAUUUUUUAGGGAUUUUUUUUUAAUUCUUUUCUAUUUAGUGUAAGAAGUUAAAUUUUAUGUUUAAUAUUUUUAUUUUUCAUAGUUUAUUUAGAAUUUUUAUUAAUUUUUUUAUUUUUAGGUUUCUAGUUUGUUUAGGUUAGUUUUUUAAGUUUAUUUAAGGAGUUGUAAACCUCUUAGUAAGGAAAACUACAUGAACAUAAAAUAUUCAGUAAUAAAAUUAUAAUUUAGGGUUUUGUGUGACAAUUUUAUUUAACUUCAAUGAUACUAGUGGUUAUGUCUUUAUAGCUUAUUGUUUUUAUGUUUGUGUUUCCGUUUAUGUUAGUUGGUAUUAAAGUUCAAUGAUACUAGUGGUUAUUCGCUUGCUAUGUGCUAGAAUAACAAUGAUUAGAAAAUGCUAUGUGCUAAAAUAACAACUCUAAAAUAAAGAAAAUGUAAUAAAAUUUCUAAAAAAACUAAGAGAAAUAAAAUUACUUCUUUCAUGAAUUCAAUCUUGAUUUAUAAUAGAACUCAUGUUUGGAGGCACUUAGGCCUUUUCAACACAGUUAUUUUAUAAUUAUCUAUUUAGAUGGAAGGCAAUUAAGUCUUUCACCAUAUAUAAAAUUAAUUUUAAAAAAAGAUGGUUGGUAAAUGCCACUCACAUGCCAGUAAGUAGGAGGUAUUCAUGUUUUUUAGGCGAUACAUAUGGCACCUUACAAUGGUCAAAUGUCGUUGUUCGCUACAGUGUGUAAAGUAGAGCAUCAUCAUUUUCAAAGUGAUAGGGCACAUAUUCACAAUGGAGGUGAGGUUAAGCUCUGAUGAAUCUUUUUUUUCUUCUUUUUCUUUUCUCUCUCCUAGCCUCAAAAUUUUCACUAGCCCUUUAAAAAAUUAAUUGUGUCAUCCAGUUUGGUCUUUAUUCUUUUGAUUGCUAUUUGUUUUUUCAAUUUUAUUCCUCAUCAUUUUAUCUUGUUUAAUUUUUGUGUCCAAUUUUGGUCCUCAUGCUUUGAUUGCUAUUUUUUUAAUCAUUUUCUUAAUUUAUUUUAAAUUUUAAUUUAGUCCCUCAUUGUUUUAUUUCAUUUAAUUUUUAUGCCAAAUUUAAUCUUUAUGUUUUUUAUUGCUAUUUGUUUUGUUUAUCUAAUUUUGGAUGAUUAGGGAUUUUUCUUGGUAUUUUUUAGAGUUUGCCUUAAAUGGUUUAAUCUUGAUCUCAUAACUCAAGUCACUAGUUUUGAGAAUUAGCCCGAUUUAACUUCAAUAUUUUUUAUGCCGUUUUCUUAAAAUUGAUUAUUUUUUAAUUUUAUCAUUUCAUUUUAGGUUAUUGGAUCUUGAGUUUCAUGGUUUUUUCCACUUUUCUUUUUCUAUUUUAUCCUAGGUCAUGGGUUUGUUGGGUGAACCCAGAUUCAUUCAAGUUUUAAUUUUUAUUCAGUCUUGAGUUUCAUGGUUUUUAUUUAAUUUUUUUAUUUCAUCAUUCGACAUUGAGUUAUUGGGUCAUUUGAAAUUCAUUAUUAUGCCUUAAGCUUUGUGAUUUUAUUUUUUUUUCAUUUUUCUUUUUGUGGGGUUAACCUAGGUUGACUUCGGAUUUUUUUGGUAUUUCUUUUAUUUUUCUUUGAUCUUUUUUUCUAGGUCAUUUUUAUUUUGAAUAAUUUUUUAUCCCGAUCACAUUAUGUGGAUUGCGAGUUAGUUGAGUGAAUCUUAGCUAUCUCAAUUUGUUUUACGUUGCUUUUUUUUAAUGAUUUUUUUAUUUCAAUUUAAUUCUUUGACAUUAGAUUGUUGGGUCAUGAUCUUAGUGAUUUUUUCCACUUUCCUUUAUAUGAAGUUGGCCCAAGUUACAAGUUAAUCAAAUUAACCCGGUUUAUAUGAGUGGGGCACAAGUUACAAGUUAAUCAAAUUAACUCGGGUGGACUCAAUUGUUUUCUUGACAUUGACUUCGAUCUUUUUAUUUAAGUUUAUUUUUUAAUUUAUUUUUUUUAUUUUGAUCUCAUAUUGAGGGUAGUGGGUAGUUAGGUGAGCCCAGGUUGACUCGUGUUGAUGUGAAUCUCGUGAUCACGUAGUCACGCAACCCACAAUCAAAAUUAAGAUCUAAUCCCGGAAAGCCGAAAUAGAUCUGAUAGGAGUCUGACACAAUGGAAACUUGCCCCAAGGCACCAACACUAUUGGAAUGAGUAGAAUGACGCCACGAAGCCAAUUAAUCUUCGAUAAAUCAGAUUCAAUUCGUUCAAGAACUAAAGAAUGCAAGAAUCACUCUCACACAUUAAAACUGAAAAAUUCAGAAGUAAUAAUCAUCAAAGCUCCCAAAAUUUUGGCUUGCAUGAGUUUAAAUAGUUCUUGAAAAAUUAACCCUAAUGGACCCCUUAUAUGGACUUAUAUGAGGUCCACUCAAAACUGAUGCAAAAUCCUAAACUGAAAAGCCCAUAACUUAAUCCAAACAAGCCUUGGAUCCUAGCUGAAAACAAAGUAUUAAUUAAGCUCAAACAUAAAAGAAAAUAAUAAAAAUAACUAACUUGUCAUUAAAUACCACCAGCCCUUCUUUCUUUGUGUAGUUAGGAUGAAUAAGGGAAUCCUUAUAAGAAAAUUAUUCUAAAACAUUAAUGAAUCAUUGCCACACUUGGAGAAUAUUAUAUUGCAGCUCAUUAAAGAUCCUUAAGGAACUAGGAAAUUCCCAAAACAAGCUCCCACAUCCUUGUAGGAAAAUGAUCCUUGCUGAACAGGAAGUCCACAAGUUAAAAGGAAGUAAAUAAUAGAAUUCGCAUAACCUGUUCGGACCUAUAUUGCAAGUCUUUUCCGAACAUGGAUUCUUCUAAAAAUGUACCCCAACAUAGAAAAACAUUUUUGAAAUCUUCUAGUAAAGUUUCAGCUCGAUCCAACGGUUGGAUUUGAAGUUAUGCUCAAUAAUGUAAAACUGAACGGUAGAAACUUUUACGCCAAAAUCCAAAUCUGACAUUGCUUGGUUCGUAUCACAAGGCUGAACUGUAUCACGUGUUUUUUCUUCGAUGUUUUUAUUUUUAAAUUUUAUUUUUCAAGUUUUAUCUUUUGAUAUUAGGUUAUUGGGUUUUACUUAAAGGAUAAAGGGGGGGUUCAUUGGAAUCUAAAAGUAAGUUUGACAUAUUCAUGAUGAAUAAAAGUACAAAAGUAGAUUAAUUGAAAUAUUAUUAGUUUAAUUAUAUAAAUAUUAUGUAAAGUUCGAUGUCAUUUAUCCACACACAAAAACAAAUUGCAAUAUUAACCCGGAGGUAAGAAGUCUAGGGUAUCUUGAGAAGAGUGAUCAUGGAUCCAAGGUUAAUUUUGAGAAUUUGUUUCAAAGAUGUAAGUAGAGAAAAUAACUUUUUGAUUGGGAUAAAUAUAAUAUUGAAAUUAAAAUUUUGAUAAUUCUAGUUUUUUUGUGAAUCGGAAUCAAAUACCAAAAUUUGAUAAGGAUGAUGAAAAUGAUGGUAAAGAAAAAGAUUUAAAUGCAAAAUUUUUAAUUAGUGAUAUCCACGAGAAGAUAACAAAAAUAGAUGUGGUUACGAUGCAUAGCGUGAAGGAUGUGUGUUUGAGAAAAAAAAUUAGAAUUAAUGAGGUGAAAGCUGAUGCUAUUGCAAUCCAGCUCAUGCAAGACUUCCAAGUCGUUGGCAGUAUCCAAUUCGAAUAUUAUAGACUUCGUCUAAGGUAGUUUACGAAGAAAGUACCCGUAAGACAUGGUUAUAAUAAAAAGUCGUUGGCAGUAUCCAAUCGAAUAUUAUAGACUUCGUCUACGGUAGUUUACAAAGAAAGUACCCAUAAGCAUGAUUACAAUAAAAAGUAUACAUUUCCUGAAAAAAAGAAAUGAAAAACACUACAAAGCUGAGAAAGGCAGACAAUAUCAAUUGUCAAAAUCUAAGGAUACUCAAAUGAGUUUCGGAAGGAAAACCUGAAAAUGUACGAGAGAACACAACCCCAUCAUUGAAGCUGCUAUUUAUAUAUAUAUAUAUAGACAUGAUCUAAUGCUAGCAAGCUGCGAAUCAUAUAUUUUAAGCAGCACACAUUGAGAAAUGAUUUCAGUCUCAUCUUGCCUUUGGGUCAAUUAUUUUAGAAAACACACCCCUUGCUCUUUGAUCUGGAUCACUUUGGGUGACACUUUCACGAGUGCUGAUAAGCCACGAUCUGAAGAAUCUCAAAGUCCACGUCAUUCUAAGAGGAUCCAUAAACCAAAUCCCAAAUAUCUGGGAUGAGCUGAUCGUGAGUUAAUGCAUGCAUAACGGAAGAAGCCAUUAAACAGGGGUCGUGGCUAUCAAGGAGUAAUGGAAGGAGGGGUUACACCCGUUAUAUCACCAUUUAUGGUCAUCAGUUAUAUCUUAAUUAAUUCCAAGUUAUUAGUAGCUUUAUUGUUCCCUUUGUAUUUCAGUUUUAUUUGUAAUUCACUUUGGCUAUUUAAGCAGCUAAAGUUUUAAUAAGAAGAUAUAAUUUCAGUAAAAAAGUGUGGUUUAGUUCUCACCCGAAGAGAACCUUUAUAAUUUGUGCUGGGACCUAACAUUGGUAUCAGAGCACGUUAUGGGAACCAACAAGGAGCGUAUUGAGCACCUGGAAUCUGGACUUGGGAUAGUUCAAGAUGGUCUUCAGAGAAUGGAGUUGGGAGUGAAUGAUAAACUCCAACAUUUGGAAGACACUCUUACUCGACUUGCCAAUAUGUUGAGGCAAAUCAAGAGAAUCCUAACCGCGACAAUUAUCAUAGAGAAGGCAACAAUGGGGGUCGGCAGAUUAUCUCCUCCAAAACAGCAAAACUGGACUUCCACGAUUUUCAGGGGAUGACCCAACCGAAUGGUUCAACCGUGUGGAACAAUUCUUUGAAUACUUGGGCACAGUUGAAAACCAAAAGGUAGCCAUGGCUGCUUACCAUCUUGAAGGGGAGGCCAACCAGUGGUGGCAAUGGCUUCAAAGGACGUUGCAGGGAGAAGGGCAAGUGAUUUCAUGGGCAAAUUUCAAGAAGAGUUAUGGGCUCGUUUCGGACCAUCAGGCUGUGAAGAUUUUGAUGAAGCUCUCUCAAAAAUCAAACAGGAGGGACAUUGAGGGAUUACCAACGGGAGUUCGAGAAGCUUGGAAAUAAGGUACAAGGUUGGACACAGAAAGCAUUAGUGGGAACAUUCAUGGGGGUCUGAAGACAGAAAUUUCUGAAGGGAUUCGGAUGUUUAACCACAAUCCCUCAAGGAGGUCAUUAAUCUAGCAAGAAUGAGAGAUGAGCAACUUACAAGACAGAGGCGGUUCUACGACCAGCACCUCCAAAAAUUCCUCUAGCUCUUCCACCACCCAAUCGGGUAACUCCUGCUAGUCGGUCUACUCCGCUUAGGCGUUUGUCAUGGGAGGAGAUGCAAAGAAGAAGAGUGCAAGGCCUUUGUUUCAAUUGUAAUGAAAGGUUUACAGCCGGGCACAAAUGUCAACAACCUCAGCUACUACUCUUGGAAGGUUACAUAGAUGCUGGUAAUAUGUCCUAUGAAGAUAUUACUUAUCCACAAACCAGGGGGUUUGUACAAGGAGAAGAUACAGUAGAGGCAUGCGAACCAGAAUUGGAACCUGAAAUCACUCUGCAUGCAUUAACAGGGUGGACAGCCCCAAGAACAAUGCGAGUGACAGCGAAGGUGGGCUCUCAUACGGUGAUGGUGUUGAUAGACAGUGGAUCCACACACAACUUCAUCAGUGAUCGCUUAGCAAACACACUACAUCUACCAGUGAAACCAACCAAGUCGUUCACUGUUCGGGUUGCUAAUGGCCAGCGUCUACAUUGCCAAGGACAAUUUGAUAAGGUACCCGUGAAUUUACAAGGCACUGAAUUUUAUCUCACACUCUUCUCUCUGCCAUUAUCAGGGCUUGAUCUAGUGUUGGGCAUCCAAUGGUUAGAAUUGUUGGGAUCAGUGGUUUGUAACUGGAAAGACUUAACUAUGGACUUCAUUUGGAAUAAUCAAGCUCGAAGGUUGCAAGGAGUGGGGAGCAAUCUAUUCAAGAGGCUACUUUAAAACAAGUCUCAAAAGAUUGUCGACAGCAACAGAUGUUAUUUGCAGUAUGUUUCCUUUCAACCACGAGGACAAAAUUCUGAAGGCAGACUAUGGCAAUCAAGACAUACAGCAGUGAUAAAGGAGUAUCAGGAUGUAUUCCAAGAACCCUCAUGCUUACCACCUGUGCGGAGGUGACCAUUGCAUUGCACUUAAGGAGGGCACUGAGCCGGUUAAUGUACGACCCUACGAUAUGCUCACUUUCAGAAAGAAGAAAUUGAAAAGCAAGUGCAGGAGAUGCUGAAAUCAGGACAUAUACGUACUAGCACCAGUCCUUUUUCUUCACCAGUGUACUCGUACGAAAAAAAUGGUAGUUGGAGAUUUUGCACGGAUUAUCGCGCACUAAAUAAUGCAACUAUCAAGGAUCGGUUCCCCAUUCCAACCGUGGAGGAUAUGCUUGACGAAUUAUAUGGAGCGGCAUAUUUUACGAAACUGGAUUUACGAGCUGGAUAUCACCAAGUAAGGGUCAAUCCUUCUGAUAUUUCUAAGACUGCUUUUCGUACUCAUAAUGGCCAUUAUGAAUACCUCGUUAUGCCUUUUGGCCUAUGUAAUGCACCUUCCACAUUUCAGGCCAUCAUGAACACUAUUUUUCGACCUCACCUUCGAAAAUUCAUUCUAGUUUUCUUCGAUGAUAUCCUUAUCUAUAGUACUACAUGGGACAAACAUGUGGAACACAUUGCACAAACUCUGCAGAUUUUAAGACAACAUCAGUUUUUUGCUAAAGCUAGCAAAUGUGUUAUCGGCCAACAAGAAUUGGAGUAUCUGGGGCAUAUCAUUACACCGCAAGGAGUGAAAGUUGAUGACCAAAAGAUUACAGCCAUGCUUGCAUGGCCUCGACCUACUAAUAUUUCUGAAUUGCGUGGUUUUUUAGGAUUAACAGGUUAUUACAGGAAGUUCGUCCAAAAUUACGGCAUCAUUGCUCGACCCCUUACCAAUCUAUUAAAGAAGGGGAAAUUUGGAUGGCAUGAUGAGGCAGAGGCAGCCUUCUCAGCUCUCAAGCAAGCCAUGACAACCACUCCCACUUUAGCCAUGCCUAAUUUCAAUGAUUCAUUCACAAUUGAAACAGAUGCUUCAGGAGAUGGUAUUGGUGCGGUUCUAACACAGCAAGGCAAACCCAUCGCCUACAUGAGUCGGGCACUGGGAGUCACAAAAAAAUCCUGGUCCACCUACGCCAGAGAAAUGCUUGCAAUUGUAGAAGCCAUCCGUUUAUGGCGUCCUUAUAUACUGGGAAGAAAAUUCUUCAUUGAAACCGACCAGCGUAGCUUGAAGUAUCUACUGGAUCAACGAAUAGCAACACCAGAACAGCAAAAGUGGGUAGCCAAACUACUGGGUUAUGACUAUGAAAUUCGUUAUCGUCCAGGCCGCGAAAACUCAGCUGCAGAUGCACUCUCCCGCAGGCCAAACAGCCCCACACUUCAUCAUUUGCACGUGGCCACCGUAACCUUGUGGGAUGAAAUCAAAGAAGCAUACAUUGGGAAUAAAUACAUUCAGUCAGUAGAGCGGGUAGCCAAGGCUCAACCCAAUGGACCAUAUUCACAACGCCAAGGAUUGUGGCUAUUCAAGCACAGAGUGAUAAUUCCUACAUGUGAACUGCUACGCACCAAGUUAUUGUAUGAAGCACACAAUACCAAGAUUGGCGGACACUCUGGAGUCUUACGAACAGUCAAACGACUAGCUCAUCAAUUUUACUGGCCUAAGAUGCAACAAGAUGUCCAAGAAUAUGUCCGACGCUGUGAAGUAUGCCAAAGAAUGAAAUCAGACACUCUUUCCCCUGCUGGACUCCUACAGCCUUUACCCGUUCCGUGUCAAGUUUGGGAUGAUAUUACUCUUGAUUUCGUUGAAGGAUUGCCAACCUCCCAUGGAAAAGAUACAAUCUUAGUAGUGGUUGACAGGUUAAGCAAAUUUGCCCAUUUCUUGCCCUUAUCCCAUCCAUUUACUACAAAAGGAGUAGCUGAAAGAUUUGUGGAAGGAAUUAUUAAGCUACAUGGCAUUCCUAAAUCAAUCAUUAGCGAUCGAGAUCCCAUCUUUAUCAGCCAAUUUUGGCAACAGUUAUUUCGCUUGUCAGGGACACAACUAAAACUCAGCUCUGCCUAUCAUCCACAAACAGACGGCCAAACCGAGGUGGUAAAUCGAUGUGUUGAACAAUAUCUUCGCUGCUUUGUUCAUCAAUGGCCGCGCAAGUGGAGCACCUAUAUUCCUUGGGCUGAGCUCUGGUAUAACACCACAUUCCAUGCCUCUACUAAAAUGACUCCAUUUCAGGCAUUGUAUGGUCGACUGCCUCCUCUCCUUCCCAAUUACCAGGGUGGUGAUGCGUCGGUGCAUGAGGUGGACAAGAAUCUCAUGUCUAGAGAUGAGUUACUAAGUCACCUAAAGACAAAUUUGGAGAAAUCCAGCAAUCGUAUGAAGCAGACAGCAGACAAAAAAAGAAGGGAGGUGACUUUUGCAGUAGGUGAUAUGGUGUUUCUCAAGUUACACCCCUAUCGACAACAAUCGGUUUUUAAACGUGUGCACCAAAAGCUUGCAAGUCGAUUUUACGGCCCUUAUCCAGUAGUUCAAAAAAUCGGCGCAGUUGCUUACAAACUUCAACUACCAGAGGGCAGUCGUAUUCACCCGGUCUUCCACGUCUCUCUACUCAAGAAAUAUGUGGGCGACCUAGUGGUGUCAUCUACAGAAUUACCACCAGUGAAUGAUGAAGGCCUAAUUAUACUGGAACCACAACAGAUUUUGGACACUCGCUGGGUCAAACAGGGAAACAAAUUUGAAGAGGAGAGCUUGAUUCAGUGGCAACGACUACCAGCAGAGGAGGCCACAUGGGAACUAACUAAGUCGUUGCUUGAGCAAUUUCCACACAUCAACCUUGAGGACAAGGUUUUGCUUGGUGGGGGAGGUAUUGAUAAGCCACGAUCUGAAGAAUCUCAAAGUCCACGUCAUUCUAAGAGGAUCCAUAAACCAAAUCCCAAAUAUCUGGGAUGAGCUGAUCGUGAGUUAAUGCAUGCAUAACGGAAGAAGCCAUUAAACAGGGGUCGUGGCUAUCAAGGAGUAAUGGAAGGAGGGGUUACACCCGUUAUAUCACCAUUUAUGGUCAUCAGUUAUAUCUUAAUUAAUUCCAAGUUAUUAGUAGCUUUAUUGUUCCCUUUGUAUUUCAGUUUUAUUUGUAAUUCACUUUGGCUAUUUAAGCAGCUAAAGUUUUAAUAAGAAAAGAUAUAUAAUUUCAGUAAAAAAGUGUGGUUUAGUUCUCACCCGAAGAGAACCUUUAUAAUAUUGUGAUGGGACCUAACAUUGGUAUCAGAGCACGUUAUGGGAACCAACAAGGAGCGUAUUGAGCACCUGGAAUCUGGACUUGGGAUAGUUCAAGAUGGUCUUCAGAGAAUGGAGUUGGGAGUGAAUGAUAAACUCCAACAUUUGGAAGACACUCUUACUCGACUUGCCAAUAUGUUGAGGGCAAAUCUACGAGAGAAACAAAAUGUACGAGAGAACACAACCCCAUCAUUGAAGCUGCUAUUUAUAUAUAUAUAUAUAGACAUGAUCUAAUGCUAGCAAGCUGCGAAUCAUAUAUUUUAAGCAGCACACAUUGAGAAAUGAUUUCAGUCUCAUCUUGCCUUUGGGUCAAUUAUUUCAGAAAACACACCCCUUGCUCUUUGAUCUGGAUCACUUUGGGUGACACUUUCACGAGUGCUAACAGUGCUCCUUGAAUGUGACUCCGCUCCACUAAACAUGUCAUCGUCAUCAGUGGUCAUGGCAUCUCGAUGUGGUGAAAAUGAGCUUUUAUUUUCCAUAUUGAUCCCUUCUACACUGUUGGCAUUUUUCUCAGCAGAUUGUUGAAGCUGCAAUGCAAAUUCAAGGCCCCAAACGACAUCACCCAUUUUAGGGCGUUCAAUUCCUUGACCAUGUAAGCAACUGUUAGCAAUCUCUGCGAACUUAUUUAAAGAGACGGGGGCAACCUCGCCCUUUAAAUGUGGAUCCACGAUCUGAUCAAGGGUUCCUCUUUGGUAACAUUUUCGUGCCCAGUCAGCUAAGCUUGCUUGAUCUUUCGGUGAACUUGGAAUCACUGGUGGCCUUGCACAUAGCACCUCAAACAAAACCACACCGAAUGAAUAAACAUCAGAUUUUCUGUCAGGUGUUGCCUACGGUAGUACUCUGGAUCCACAUAUCCAAUGCUACCUCUAACUACAGUGCUAACAUGGGUUUGGGAUGUACUAGUGGGACCCAAUCUGGACAGCCCAAAAUCUGAAACCUUAGCCACCCAAUUCUCAUCUAACAAUAUGUUUGUUGACUUCACAUCACGGUGAAUGAUUGUGUGCUUUGCUCCUGAAUGAAGAUAAUGCAACCCUUUUGCAGCACCGAUGCAUAUUUCUAGCCUUUGCUUCCAUGGAAGAGGAGAGUUCUUUGUUUUGUAUAGAUGUUCUCUAAGAGUGCCUCUUGACAUGUAAUCGUAUACAAGGAUCAUCUCGCCAUGAUCAUCACAGUAUCCAAUCAGCGACACUAGAUGGAGGUGGCGCAGAUUGGAUAACAUCUCAAUCUCUGUCUGGAACUCACGUGUCCCUUGCUUUGAUGAUGAAUCUAGUCGUUUGAUGGCUACUGCACCGUAUUCAAUGUAUCCUUUAUACACAGUACCAAAUCCCCCUGAACCAAUAAUAUUUUGAUCAUCAAAGUGUCCUGUUGCUUCGUUGAUUUCGAAAAAUGUAAACCGUCGGCAAAGAUCAGUAGGAGUGAUGAAGAGAUUGUAGUCGUGGACCUAGAUGUUUGUGAUAUUAGAGUCCAGGAGGAUUUUUCCUCACUCUUGCUAGGGUCCUUGACUCGCUUCUGCUUGAAAGCAAAGAAAUAAAGAAUAAGAGAGCAAGCAAACACUGCACCUAUGGAACCUCCAACGAUGGCUAUAACCGUAAGUAUUGAUGAUCUUUUGCCCGUUCUUCUGUCUUGUAGACUUGGAUGUUGUUCUGCUGGUGGAGGAGCCACUGUUGGCUCAGGGUUGAAUCCUGCAAGAUUUCCGUCUGUUGUAUUCAGCUUGAAUAUUUCCAAGCCAUUCAAGAUUGCAUCAGCAUAAGUAGGUUUCAGUUCCAUGUUAGGGUGUAGUUCGAGCCACAAGCCCUGCUUGCUCUGGCUCCCUGAGGGACCAGCACGAUGUAGUCUUUGUAAACUGGAAUGCCGUUGCCACCGCUCAUAUGGAUCACAUCUGCAUCAUGGCUGUGCUAUUUGAUUGUUGAUGAAUAUUAAAAAUACCUGUUGAUUUUCAGUUUUGAACUCCAUUCGAGUCUCACAAAAGUGGAGUCUAAGGAGAUAAUUGAAACCAGCAUCAACUGGGAAGAUCCAUGUGAGAUUGUAAUUCAUGUUAAGAAGUGGUUCAGGACCCAUAGAACGCAUAGUACUAUAUACCAUAACAGGUGCGGAGUAAGCUGGCGUUUUGGUUGUGUACUCUAUCUUGACGCCUGAGUGAUAUGGAGUGUUUCCAGCUUUUCCAAAGAGAUACCCUGAAUCUUGAUGCCAUGUCCUGUACAUUCCAGUCUUGUCUCCAGUGCUGCUGAUAUCUUGCCCCCCAACAUUCAGUCGAUAAACUGUCUCAAGCGCAGUUGUGUUACCCAGAUAGAAGGGGGCGGUGCCCACAUAGGUCGGUGGAUUAUCAUCGCCACGAGCAUAGAAGCUGUCUGGCAUGGAAACGAUUUCGAUACCAUUAACGAAGGCAAAAGAUGCUGGAGACGGAAUGAAGGUUAAUUCAAGCUUCUGGUUGUCCCACACGGUGAUGAUGAACUCUUUGGUGAAGUAGUCAACUGGAGGUCUUAUAGCAGAAACUGUAAGAGAGGCACUAAAGUUGUUUAGUAGCUUGUAGUUGUUGGCACUAAGCGAAAAAUAGGAUUUGGAUAUAUCAAGAUUUGAGUAAGAAGAUGGAUAAAAGUAGAGACGCACAAAUUUUGGGCCAGGCAAGACUGGAAUUGUGUAAGUGAAUUUAGAGUGAAGAAUACGGGCUGUCAUGUAUGGGACUUGGUCGACAGAGGGGUCUUGAGUGGAGGCUUCAAACACAGAUGAGGCUUCUGGGGGGUUAGAGGCAGCAAACUUAGACUGGGAAUCACCAUCCCAACUGCGACCAUCUGGAGAUGACAAAUUAGAGGAUGCACCACAGUUAAGGAGUAUUAGAUCAGUGGGGCUGUAUGGCAGCAAGUAAUCUUCAGUAGCAGUAGCAUAGAGGAAGAGAUGGAGGGGAGGGAGAAGGUAGAGAGCGAUGAAGAUGGACAUUAUGCUAUUUCUUUUGUGGAAUAAGUUGGAGUAAGAAAACCUAUGCAUUAAAUGCAAAGAUUUUGAUUUAAGGGAAGAUGAUCAGUGGCGUUUUUGUCUCCAUACAGUAUUUUUGCUCAGUUGAGAAUAAUCCAAUAAUAUAUUUGAAGCCCGGGGAGUUGAAAAUUCGACGAUAUGGCUAAUGGGACAUAUUGGUCGCUGUACUUAGUCAGCUUUGGAUGGCUGCUUUCCAUUGUGUGGUUCUGAAUUCUGCAAUAAAGACGCCAUGAAUAGUCUAUGAAACUUAUUUUUCUUUUCUUUUUUCCUUAACUUUUUCAUUGUUGGAUUAAGAUCACACACACCACUUAAUUUCUUAUUUGAUUAAUAUUCUUAACGAGGUUGAAUGUAUUUCAGGUUGGUGUUCACCAUAACAAAUGCAGUAAUCACAGCUCCGAGAUUAGGAUUCAAAAGGUGCAAAGCUUCUUUUUCCUUAUGGCCACCGCCUUGAUACAAUGAUUGUCGCAAGUGCAAGGUCUAUAUAAUCCUCACCGAUGCCUUCUGUCCAAUACACACACAUCCUCAUUAUAGGCUGGCCUUGCUUCAGUCUUCAAUAAGAAACAUCGUUCUUGUUCCUCAUGAGUAGCCCUUUCACUCGCCUCAGAUCCAUGAAGUCUCAUUUACUCCUUUCUAUUAUUCUUCUUCAAUGCUGUCUUACUGAUAAAAUGCUCUUGUUUUUGGUGUUAUAUAUUCUUCAAUGCUGUCUUACUGAUAAAAUGCUCAAAUGAGACUUCAUGGAUCUGAGGCGAGUGAAAGGGCUACUCAUGAGGAACAAGAACGAUGUUUCUUAUUGAAGACUGAAGUAUAUAUAUAUAUAUAUAUAUAUAUAUAUAAAAUUUUACACAGGCUCAAAGGAUCGACCUAUUUCUUUUUGGUUCAUGAGUGUGCCUUUUUGGGCUGAGUUUAAAACCAAAAAUCUUCUCAUCUGGUAUAGUAAUCGCUUAAUUACUACAAAACUUGGUGGUAAUGAGAAAUCUUUCUUCCCAUUAAUCGAAGAAUAAUGGAUUUACCUCUCGACAUACUUGGUGCCGAAUAAAAUCAUUAGCACUAGUGAAGAAGAGGCAAGCUGUCCUCUCUUCCCUGGAGAUGGCAAUUUGUUCUCUCUCAUCCUGUUAAGCUUGAUUUCCAUAAUUGAGGGGAAAUGAAUGGAGUUCUCGGUGGAUGAAAAAUAAUUGGAAUAAUAAAUGAAAUGAAAUUGUGUUUCAUUGUUGAAACAAUCAUGCUGAAAUCACUUCAAUCCAAGUCUCUACAUUGAAUAGGUCUAGCAAAUGUUCUUAUCUUGUACAAACAGGACACCUUAAGCAAACCUGUGAACAUUCCAAGAUCUUUUUUUCAACUUCAUAGCUUGCAAUAGAUUAAUGAGGAAGCUUCUCCAUUAAUUAGUGCACGAGAAAGACAAUCACUAGACAUCGUAUCGACAAAGCAAUUGCUUGCUAUUUUCUUCAAUUAUUAAUCAUCAUAAAGUACAUACAAAUUUUAUUGCUAUACUCAUCGGAAGCAUGAGUAGAAAGAAAGAAGAAAGAUUCAGACAGUCACCCUAGACGUAGAGCAAACUGAUCCCACCCAUCUUGGUGGAGCUCACAUAGACGGACUGGUUCACCUUGCGCUUUAUGGGUGGCUAUUCAAAUCGAAACCCACACAGACAGAUAAAGAACUGACCCCUUUGUCUCCUCUUCCUCGAUCAACUACCACGUUUGCACCGAUUGUAGUAAGUGCAGGGCCGAGUGUUAGGAUUGAUCGGUUUUGCACAGUCGCCAUAUAUUUGUGCAUUGCAAAUUGGUUGUCGUUCUAAACUAUCAUAGCUAAGAUAGUUACCCUGAGAGGCCAGUAGUCUCUGAUGCACUUCAGAUUCCAUAGAGAACUCCUCUUCAUUACCUUCACCGAUUGUGGCAUUGAAAAUGGGACUCGAGUUGCUUUCAAGAAAGGCAGCUGUAGAAGCAGAUGUGAUCACAAAAACCAGCAGGAUAGUUAAAGAGAGCCACCGGAGGAAUUCAAUACUUACGCUAGGCCUCAUCUCUUUCUGUCUGUACCCUUCUGUUACAGAGUUUGAAGAGCACUAAAUAGACGUCACUGCUAAGAAGGCUUCAAACUCUGGAUAUGGAGUGAAAGGCCAGCUUUUUUCCAUUGACUUGCUUUUUUGUGAAGACUUGGGUCUUCACAUGACUGUGAUUUUGACAUUGUGCGCUCUAAUUGCUUACAGCUGGCAAACUGGUUGGAUAAUGGUCCUUGCCAAUUCAAUCGUUUCCUCAUUGUUCGUUUGCAACCAUGAACAUUUAUUUUAGUGUUUGAUAGUGGUUUUUUAUAAUAUUUUUUAUUUAGAAAAAUAUUAAAAUAAUAUUUUUUAAAAUAUAUUUUUAAUAUCAAUAAUGCAAACACUCAUCAUGCAGCGUUUUCCGAGGGACAUCUAAUAGUUGUCGGAAACCAUGUGCGCGUCAAGUCCAUGGGCCAUCAGCUGAUGCUAAGUUUUGAAAAAAUUGCAAUUAUUUUUUUAUGGGAUCCUGCUAACAAACACUAGCAUUUCUCUUACUUUUAUGUAAUUAAAUGGUAGGGUAUAGCAGUUCUUACAAAGGGACCAUAGAAAUGUCUUUUGAACUGGUGCUAUUGGCAUACCCAUAAAUCUAUUGGCGUAACAUUUUGGAAAUGGAAUGUCAAGGUUUUUUCUUCUCUAACAUGAAAGCUUUCUCCUUUUUUUUUCGUUUAUUAAUAUUCAUAAAUUAAGAGAAAAUGUUGAUUUUUCAAUUGAAUAUACGUAAGGUAUGAAUUUGCUAUGCGUUUAGAGUACAUGAAAGACUUAUUUAUAUUAGGCUUUUUGAACUUUAAAACUAAUUAAAUUCUGCUUGAAGUUGAAAAUAUGUCAUGGAUGACGUGAUAACGUGAUAAGCACUUUUUGAAUAAUUGAAGGGGAUGGAUGUUUUGUUAAGGAUGACGUCAAUAUACACCCACACACUAUGAAGUUGAUUCAAAGAAUCAGGAUUAUAAUCUGGAUCUUCGUUAGUGAAUUUAUCCUCAUCAAAACUUGAUAUUUCGUACGAGGUUUCUUCGAGUGUUUCUUGUAUUCUGCCUUUGACCUUGAUGAUGCUAAGGUUUACUUGAAUUCGAUUUUAAGAGGUUAGAAAUGUAAAUUGUCUUUUUUAAGUUGGAGAUGAUAGGAAUUCUUGUAGCUAUGGAGUUUGUUGAGAUUGUAGCAAUAAGCUUGAGUUUCUCUGAAUUGGAUCCAUCAUUUGACUUUGAUGUAUCCCAUGAGAUCUGAAGAGUAACUAAUAUCUUUAUUUACAUCAUGCAUUGUAAUGAAAUUCCAAGAUAGCAUGAGACACCAAAGGUAGAGAUGAAAUUAUACAAAGAAACGGGAAUUGAAUUCGAAGGCAUUUUUACUAUAAACAAUUCCAAUUAUUGUGUGAUUUUUUAUGGGAGGAUUUCACUUAUAGAAGAAAAAUAUUUCCACCAAUUGUUUGAGAACCAAGUUGGUAAAUUUUUUGGACAAAUGUUUUAUCAAAAUGGAUGAACCAUAAAUGAUCAUGGUUUUAGAAAAAGAAAAUCAAACCAAGCUCGUUGAUAAUCAAAAUAAUUAUAUCUUUGAGAUUAGUAGUUUCAAGAAAAUCUUUCAAGGUGUAGGGACUUUGACUCAAUUAAGUCUUGAAAGGUUAAAACCUUUUAAAUUUUUAUUUUUGAAAAAAAUGGAUUAUUUACAUCUUCAUUAUGAGUCACUUCAGCAGAGUUAAUGUCAAACCAGAACAAACUCAUAAAAUUAUCUUGUUUUCAAUAGUUUUUCUAUAAUGAACUAAAAUUGAAAGGGGAAGAUAUAAAAAAUGAUCUUAUUUAGGUUUUCAUUGUAAAAUUAUUUUUUAAUUGGACAAAUAUGAAGAUUUAUAGUUUCUUGACUUGGAAGGUUUAAUAAGUUAAUUUUUUCAGGGAAGAUUUGGAGGGUAAUUAACACAAGUGGAAGCACAAGCAAAUACACAAUAACAAGUAGGGUAUAAAAGUUGUUACAAGGGACCAUAUAUAUUGUGUUUUGAACUGGUGCUAUUGGCAUACCCAUAAAUCUAUUGGAACAAUAUUUUGGAAAUAAAAUGUCAAAGUUUUUUUUUCUUCUUUAACAUGAAAACUUUCUUUUUUCCAUUUAUUAAUAUUCAUAAACCAGAGAGAAUGUGAUUUUUCAAUUGAAUAUAUAUAAGGUAUGAAUUUCCUAUGCCUUGAGAAUGCACCAGAGUGGUGGCCCGCGCGACACCACGGAUCGGACCAAACAUGUUUUUCAAUAUGAAAAAAAUCUUUAGGAGAUAGUUGGGUUUUUAAAAUAAAAAAAAAAUAGAUAAUAAUGUUAAACCUUGAUUAAUUUUAUAAUAUAAUAAAAAAAUUAAGCAACAAUAACAAAGAAAUAAAAAAUAAUUACAUACAAAACUGGAUUAACACACGAAACUCGUGACCUAACACAUGAGAUCAGGAUAACCCUAUAGGAAUAUGAUACCAGUAAAAAUCCAUUGUUGAAAAAGGACAUGGAAAAAAAAAUCAAAGGCAAUAAAAUAUUGAAGGAUGAAAUUAAGAAAAAAAGUUCAAAUAAAAAUAAAUCAAAAAAAUAAAAAUCAAAUCUAACAUAAAACAAAAUUAACUAAAAUAUUGAGAGAUACAAUUAAAAAAAACAAUUCAAUUAAGAGAAAGAUAUAAAAUAUUGAGGGAUACAAUUGAAAAGAUAAUUUAGUUAAGAGAAUAAUUAAAAAUCAAAAUAAAAAUAAUAGGGAUCAAAUCUAAAAUGUAAACAAACCAAAUGAGAAUUAAAUUGAAAGAAAAUUUUAAAUGCAUGCAUAAUCUAAAAUAAAUGAAAUAACAAUAAAAAAAAAGAAAUCAAAUCUAAAAGAAAAAUAAAUUGAAGUGCUAUAUAAAAUCUUACUUUUUGUUACCACACAAGCUCUCUAGAAAUUGAUCGGCAAUAUCACAAGGAUAAAAACACAAUUAUAAAAGCUAGAGCUUGGCUGUCAAACGAUACCUCAUGUGUUGUCUAAUCAAAACAAAAGUACUAACCCGUGACCGUAUAAAUUGCAUGUGCAACUGUUUUUUUUUUUAAAUAAAUUAAUAUAAUAUAUACCUAAAUACUAAAGUGCAUUUUAUCGAACUUGAUAAUCACAAAAAAACCAAAAACAAGAGACAAAAACAAAACCCCUUGACCAAGGGCAAAGACAAUUCAAAUGCAAGGACACUUCAGUUUUUCACUGUGCAUGUGAAAAGGAAUACUUGAAAGUGACCCUCUCCACUAGUCCAUUACUUUUUAUUUAGAAGGAUAUAAUGGUUAUUUUACCAUGAAAAUAAAAAAAAAAAAUUAAUAUACCCUACUUCCAAAGCCAGCAAAAUCAUUAUCUCACUAUUCCAAUCGACAUUAACAAUGAGUUUGGCUGUACAAUAAUAAACCUAUACUAAAAUGGGAGCUCUUUUAGUCUCUUCUAAUGAAAGACUUAUUUACAGGAGGCUUUUUUAACUUUAAAUCUAAUUAAAUUAUGCUUGAAGUUGAGAAUAUAUCUUGGAUAACGUGAUAUAUACACUUUUUUAAUAAUUGAAGUGGCUGAAUGUUUUGUCAAAUAUUAUUGAAUAAUUAAAUUAGGUGGAUUUUCAUAAAGGAUGACGUCCACAUAUAUAAAAGAUUCUUUUAUAUCCAUGUGUGUGUGUAACUCAGAAGAUUAGGACCAUAAUCUGGAUUUUCAUUAGCGAAUUCAUCCUCAUGAGAACUUGAUAUUUAUACAAGGCUUUUUGGAGUUUUUUCUUGUUCUGACUUUGAGCUUGAUGAUGCAAGGCUUUCUUGAAUUCGACUUUUAGAGGUGAGAAUUGUAAAUUGUCGUUCUUGAGAUGGAGUCGAUGGGGAAUGCUUGCAGCUAUGGAGUUUGAUGAGAUUGUAGCCGAGCAUGCACAACUUGAGAACAAGCUUGAGUUUUUCUGAAUUGGGUCCAUCGUUUGACUUCGAUUUUCCUCAUGAGAUCUAAAGAGUAACCAAUACCUUCAUCUACAUCAUUUAUUAUAAUGAAGUCCCAAGAUAGCAUGGGACACCAAAGGUUGAGAUGAAAUAAAAAGAGGCAUGAAUUGAAUUCAAAGGUAUUUUUGUUGUCAACAAUUCCUAUCUUUAUAUGAAUUUUUAGGGAGAAUCUUACUUAUUGAAGAAAAAUAUUACCACCAAUUGUUUGAGAACUAAGUUGGAAAAUUCUUUGGACAAUGUUUUAUCAAAAUGGAUGAAUGAUGAAUGGUCAUAGUUUUUUAGAAAAAGAAAUUAAACCAAGCUUGUUAAUAAUCAAAAUUACUGAUUGGUAGUUUUGAGAAAAUCUUUCAAGGUGCAGGGGUUUUGAUUCAUGUCUUGAAAGGUUAAAACCUUUUAAAUUUUUAUUUUUAUUUAAAAAAAAAAAAAACAGGAUUGUUUACAUCUUAAUUAUGAGUUAUUUCAACAAAGUUAAUGUCAACCAGAAUAAACUUAUAGAAUUGUCUUGUUUUCAACAUAUUUUCUAAAAUAAAUUGAAAUUGAGAGGGGGGAAUAUAAAGAAUGAUCUUAUUUGGGUCUUCAUUGUAAAAUUAUUUUUUAAUUGGACAAAUAUGAAGAUAAUAGUUUCUUGACUUGAAAGGGUUAAUGCAUUUUUUAGGGAGGAUUUAGAGAGUAAUUAACAUAAGUGGAAGUACAGCAAAAAACCAAUAGCAAGAGAAAGAAAUAAUAGUUGAAAGAGGAUGAGUAAAAGAAUCCUAAUUUAUAGUUUUAUUGAUGAAGAGAAAAAUCCACUAUUUUUUUUUGCCCCUUUAAGAUAUUUAGAAUCUUUAAAAAGUUAAAACCAAACUAAACAAAUUAAAAAAUCCCAAAGAAAAGUAACAAAAUUCCUAAACAAACUAAGAGAAAUAAAAUUAUCAUUCUCAAUAUUUAAUUUCCUGAACUAGAUAGAAAAAAAUAAAAUCACCAUAAAGAAAAUAUUUUUCUAAACUAAAUAGAAAAUAAUAAUAAUAAUAACUAAGAAAUUUUAUUUUCAUAAAAAUCCUGGCAUCAACAAUAAUGUUGUUGAAGGUGCAUUUUAAGAUUAAACAAACAAGGGUGUUUUGAGAGAUUAAAAAUAAUUUAAGUGAGGUGUUUGGACUGAGUGAUGUUGAUGAAAGGAUUCAAAAUUGAUUAUUUGAGACAAAAACUAGCCUCACAAUAGGAGGCCAUACCCUCCUUAAAGUAUCUUGAAUGCUUGAUGUUGUUGCUUGAAUUGGUUUUAAUGGUGUAAGAGUAUUUGAUUCUUUUAACUUCUUGACCGGGAUGCUCAUUUUGAGCCUAGUAAAGACUCUUUGACUUUUAUGAAUUCAAUCUUGUAAAAGUAUCUAAGAUUUGUAAAAAUAUCUAAAACAUAAUUCAGGCAUCUCAUAAACCUUUAAAGCUGGGUUUUAUCCUUGGUUUUUUCUACGGAUUUAUCAAUAAAUUUUAGUGAUCUAGUGAUUAGAGUUAUUGAUUCUUGAUACAUGUUGUAUCCUAAAAAAUAUAUUUUUAAUUAACAUCUUUAAGGUUGAGACAACUAAUCUAUUUUGUUUGAUAAUAUUGAGAAGCUUUUGUAAGUUUUCGAAAUGUUUGGUUAUUAAUUUUAAAAAUAAAAAGUCAUCAUCUAUGUAUAUAAUCAUAAAUUUUAAAUACAGAUUAAAGAUGUCAUUUAUAAUGGUCUGAAGUUUUAAAUGAGUAGUUCAAAAGGCAUUACAUCUCAUUUGUAAUGAAUAAAUGUAACAAUGAAUGUUGUUUAGUAAUGAUUUUAUUAUUAUUAUUAAAUUAGACUUGCUAGAAUCCUGACCUUAUGUCAGAUUUUGAAUAUAUUGAAGCAUUUUAAAGUCUCAUCUCUCUUAUCAUCGUGUAUUGGAUAUCUAAUAUAUUGAAGCACUUUGUUGAGAGGCUUGUAAUUGAUGACAUGUCUUAGUGCACACUAUACCAUUAAACAAUUUUAUUGACAGAUUAAUUUCGUCGGUGUAAGGCAUGACAUCUGUCGGUAAAAUUAUUACCGAUGGUCUCAUCGAUGAAAUUCGUCCGUCGGUAUACUAAUCGCCGGUAAUUUCCUAUUCCGUCGCUAAUGUUGUCGGAAUUAAAAAAAAAAACCAACCACCGCCGGUCUUACAAACGGUGACACGCUGCAAAAACAAAAUUUCCCACGAGAACAUUACCGACGGAAUAUAUCGGUCUACAUUUUUAACGGUAAUCAUCAACGGAAUAUCCAUCGGUGAUGGUGGCAUGACGGUAAAUAUUUUAGAACUCUGUAAAAUACCAACAGAAAUAUUCCGUCGGUAAUAGUAAUGGUAAACACUGACGAAAUAUGUCCAUCGGUGAUUAUGGCAUGGGUGGUAAUUGUUUGGCAACUCUCGGUAAAAUACCGACGGCCAGGAUCCGUCGGGAAAGUCGUCGGCAUGUAUUUAUAAUAUAUAUAAAAAAUAAUUUAUUAAUAGUAAAAAAGCUUAAUAAACAAAUAAAAUUGUAUUAAACAUUAAAAAUAUAAAAAUAAUGUUAAAUAUUAUUCAUCCAAAUAUUCAUUACAAAUUUAAUGUGUUUAAAAAACAAAAUUAAACUAGAAUAGCGGUAGAGCUAGAGGAGGAGGAGGAGGAGGAGGAGGAGGAGGAGGAGGAGGAGGAGGAGUUGGUUGUUCCCGGGACCGUACGACCAAAAAGGAGCUGCACAUGUAUCAUCACCCAUCCUUGAUAAUUACUCCAUGACCAUUUGAUGGAGUUGAUCAUAAUUCAUCGAGAGUUGUUCAUAUUGUUGUUUCAAGGCCAUGAACUUCUCAGACUGGGUGCUCGAUGCUGAUGGAGAGCUCCUAACGGUUGAGACACUACGGGUUGAUCGCAAUUUUUCGGUCGUAGUGUUGGAGAGCCUGUGGACUCAAUUUUUUUUGGGACCACUAGACGAUCCCACCUCCAUCCACUAAUCCGAAUCAAAAUCCGGAUAGAUCGAAGGAUCGUCCCCAUAUCUCUCCCUCAACCGUCUAUUAUAGGUCUCCUGAAAUUUUUUAAAAAAUCAUCAUAUUCAAUUCAAGAAAAUAAUAACUUACUAAAUAAAAUGAUUGAACGAACAUACUACGAAGUGCUGAGCACGGUUGUCCACAAACUACUGCACCCCUUUUUGGCGAUCUUGACUCCGCACAUGCAUCUCUACAAACAACUCCAUUGGACGUAGCUUAUAAGGAAAAAAUAGGUUGCAAUUAAGUUAAAUAUAUUUAUAAGCAACGACAAAUUAAUUAAUGAUAUAUCUCAUUAAAAUUAAUCUUACCAUCCGCUUUGCAUGUGUGCUGAACGGGACGGAGCCGUCGGUGUGCAUGGUCACCAAACCAUGAAUUUACCAGUUCCGGUUGUGGGCGCCGAAUUGUGAGCACCAUGAUAACCACUCUAAGGUCACGUGCUCAAUAUAUGUUGUCCAUAUAUCUCUCGAGAUGAAUGGCAGUUUGAAUUCCCGCCAAACCGCUACCUCAUUCCAUCCUUUAAGACCGUUAUCCCUCGCAUGUCUUUUUGAUUUUUUUUAUUGAACCAACCAGUUUAACUCGGUUUUUUUGGUUUGGCUAAGUUUUUUAUUCUGACUUGGCUCAGUUUUUUCGGUUUUAGGCUUAUAAACAUAACCGAACCAAUCAGUUUUUUAAAAUUCUAAUCGGUUUAAUAAGUUUUUUUUACAGUUCGGUUUUUUCGGUUAUUUUUUUUAUGGUUCUCUCGGUUUAAUCAAUUUUUUUAUUUUCUUGCUUACCCUUACAUAUAGGUAGUGAAAGGGAAAUUACGAAUUAUACAGAAUUGAACAAAAAAAUAGAAGGUCAAUUUUUAAAAUAGAAUGCCCACUCCGGCGUGAAAAAUGGAAUAUUAAAGGCAAAUACAUGUUGUUGGCAAAGUUCCAAGCCUGGGGUCCAGUUUCAUGCAAACAUCUAAUGCACGUUAUGAGGCAACAAAUAAAGCAGGAAGAGAAUAGACUAAAAAGAAAUCUAUAAUGUUAAAUCUAUGAUGAAAUUUAUUGGUCUAAGAUGCUAAAAAAUUAACAUGUAUUUAAACUUAUAUAUAUUAUAAUACCUCGAAAAUAUAGAGUUGAUCAAGUUCAGAAUAUGUGGACAUGCUUUUUAUAAAUUCAAAACUAGUAGAGGAAAGACUCAUAUCGUAUAUAGAAAACUUAGAUAUUUUUCAAUUAUACCUAGAAUGCAAUGACAUCAUCAUUCACAAGAUUUUGUGGAUGUUUUAUUAUAUGAUAACAUCAAAAUAUAUUGAAAGAUUAUGUAUAUAUCAUUAUGAAUAGUGGAGAUAUGAUACAAUUAAAUGAGAAUUUUAUAUAACUAGAUAAAAAUAUGAAAUAAAAAGACUAUGUGGAUGAUCUAAUAUAUAUUUUUAUAUACCAUUGAGACAUUCUAGAUCUAAAAAGAGGUCUUGUCGUGUCAAAUUAGACGAACAUCUUAGGACCAUGUCUUUUAUCAAAUUGUUAGAUUUCCCGGAUUAGGUAUCAAAACUGAAUAUUGUUAUUUGGGUUAAUUUUUUUUUUAAUUUUUUCAAGGUUUUUUUUUUUGGAUUUAUUAUUUAAUUUGAUUUAUUAUUUUAAUUUCUUUUGCUUUUUUGUAUUUCUAGUUGUUUUCUAAUAGAUGUAGGGCUUUUUUGAUCUAUUUAUAGGUCUUAUAAACCUUUUAAAAGAUAAACUUAUUAGGUUUAUUUUUAGAUAAAUAAAUCAUAAAUUUGUGUUUCACAUAUAUAAUUUUUUUUGUUCAUUAAAUUUUAUUGUGUUUUAUGUAUUGUUACUAUUCUUAUAGGUCUCUGCUGCAUCAACCAUGCUUUGAGUUGGCUAAUUGUUAUUUUUUAUUUCAUAUUAAGUAUAAACAGGUAGUGAAAGGGAAAUUAAGAAUUAUACAGAAUUGAACAAAAAAAUAAAAGUUCAAUUUUUAAAAUAGUAUGCCCACUCCGGCGUGAAAAAUGGAAUAUUUCACAUCUAAUGCACGUUGUGAGGCAACAAAUAAAGUGGACCAAUUGGAAAUGAAAGAAGUGACCUUUGAACAAAGACUUCCAAGUCGUUGGCAUUAUGCAAUCAAUAAUUCAACAUUAAAAAAUCCCAAGUUGUUGCCUUUGAAAUGUCUAAUGCACGUUAUGAGGCAACAAAUAGAGUGGACCCAUUGGAAAUGCAAGAAGACCUUUGACAGGUCGUCUGUGCUGUGUAGCAGUGACCUCUGAAAGACAUCAAAGACUUCCAAGUCGUUGGCAUUAUGCAAUCAAUAAUUCAUCAUUAAAAAUUUUGGUAACUUUCUGGAAAUGAGACGUGAGAUUUUUCGUCCUUAACAUGUGGACCUUUCUUUAUUGACUUUCAUAAAUUUAGAUAUAACUAGUAAAUUUAAGUUGUUUUAUCUUAUUAAUUUAUACACUCAUUUUAAUUCUGUACCUCCUCGAUUCCUCUGGCAUGCAUCAUCACUCCGUAAUCAUUGUAUAUGGGAACCCCAUUUCCAUCAGCCCAAGAAAUUAUAUCUGCGUAAAGCUCGGCAGUUUGAUUAGCGAUAUAUAUUUGAAAGAUCAUAUCGCCUUCCCGCAAUAUAAUCGGUAUAAACUGACAGAAAUGAAGCCUAAAAAGAUAGGUGAAUGUGGAUUGGACCGGAAACUGCCAAGUCAUAUUGUAUUCCUUAUUUACAGUAGAAUUGGGUCCCAUGGUCCUAGCAGUUCGAUAGAGUACAUCAGGUGCAGCAUAGCGAGUGAGGUUAUUAUACUGAAGUUGAAUAGUGCCAUUAUAUUGAUAAACGCUCGGUCUAGCAUCCGUCAAGUAAUCGUCGUCGUUUAGCCAACUUUGAAUAGUGCCGUUAUUUUGAUGUUGUGGAUGUUUUGUUAUGAAUAUUUGGUGAAGAUAAGAUACAACUAAAUAAGAAUUUUAUACAACUAGAUAAGGAUUGAAACAGAAAAACUAUAUUGAUAAUUUAAUAUAUAUAUUUAUAUACCAAUAAAACAUGUUUAGACCUAAAAAAAAGGUCUUGUCCCUCAAAUUGGAUAAACAUCUUAAAAUUGCAUCUCUUAUCAAAUUAUUAGAUCUCCAGGAAUUAUGCACCAAACCAAAAUAUUGUUGUUUGGGUCAAAUUUAUUUAUUUUUCCUAGUUUUUUUAUUUAUUAUUUAAUUUGGUUCUUUAUUUUAUUUUAUUAUGUUCUUUUGUAUUUCUAGUUGUUUUCUAAUAGAUGUAGGAUUUUUUUUUAAUCUAUUUAUAGGUUUUAUAAACCUCUAAAAAAAUAAACUUCAUUAGUUUUAUUUCCAUAUAAAUAAAUCAUUAAUUUAUAAUUUACAUUGUAAUCUUUUUCGCUCAUUAAAUUUUAUUGUGUUUUUGUAUUGUUACUAUCCAUAUAGGUCUAGGCUGCAUCAACCAUGCUUUGAGUUGUCUAAUUGUUUUUUUUUUUUUUUCAUAUUAAGCAUAAACAAAAAAAUAAAAUAAAAGGUCAAUUUUUAAAAUAGGAUGCCCCAUCCGGAGUGGAAACUGGAAUAUGAAAGGCAAAUACAUGUUGGUGGCAAAGUUCCAAGCCUUUGGGCCCAGUUUCAUGUAAACAUUAGGCAACAAAUAGAGGGGACCAAUUGGAAAUGGAAGAAGACCUUUGACAGGUCGUCUCGUCUGUGCUGUGUAGCAGUGACCUUUGAAAGGCAUCAAACACUUCCAAGUCGUUGGCGUUAUGCAUCAAUAAUUCAACAUUCAAAAAAAAAUCCGCACUUUCCAAGAAAAUUAACUUUCAAGACAUCAUAAUCAGACUUCUGCAUAUUUCCGUGGAAUUUUAUUUUUUAUUUUUUUUAAAAUAUGGAAAUAUAUUGGUAACGUUUUAGAAAUGAGACGCCAGAUAUUUUUCGUCCUUAACAUGUGGACCUUUCUAUAUUGAUUUUCAUAAAUUUAGAUAUAACUAGUAAAUUCACGUUGUUUUAUCUUAUUAAUUUAUACAUUCAUUUAAUUAUUAUUUAAUAUUUGUUUUUCUUAUUUUCUCUACAAUAUCACUUGAUAAGUUGGCAAGGAUAAUGAUGUCCAAUAUAUUUCAGAAAAUAAUACAUGAAAGUCUUACAAUGUUGUUAUCAAUUUACUAUUUUACUAAUACCAUACAUCUACAUGCAAUAAAUAUAUUUUUCAUUUUUUCUUAUUGUGUGGAAUUUUUUUUUUAUAAUACUCAGAAAAAAAUAAUAAUUAAAAGAAUAAGGACCAAACUAGAACAAUUUUAUUUUUGUUUUUAAUGCUUUUUUAACUUAAUUGUUUUCAAUUUUAUCCAUAUAUAUUUUAUUUAAUUUAAUUAUUUAAUCUAGUUUGGUCCUCAUUCUUUUUAUUACUAUUUUUUUUAAAUUUUAUUUCUCAUCAUUUUAUUUCGUUUAAUUUUUGUGUCCAAUUUUGGUACUCAUUCUUUGAUUGCUUUAUAUAUAUACUAAAUAUAUAUAUCAUUUUCUUAAUUUAUUUUAAUUUUCAAUUUAGUCUCUUAUUGUUUUCUUUUAUUUAAUUUUUAUGUCAGAUUUGGUCCUUAUUUUUUAUUGUUAUUUAUUUAUUUCUUAUCUAAUUUUGGAUGAUUAGGGAUUUUGCUUGGUAUUUUUUAGAGUUUGCCUUUUAUGAUUUAAUCCUGAUUUCAUUACUCAAGUCACUAGUUUCGAGGAUUAGCCCGAUUUAAAUUUGAUAUUUUUUAUACCUUUUUUUUAAAAUUGAUUAUUUUUUAAUUUUAUCAUUUAAUUUAGGUUAUUAUGUCUUGAGUUUCAUAAUUUUUUCUACUUUUCUUUUUCUAUAUCAUCCUAUGUCAUGGGUUUGCUGGGUGAACUCAGGGUCAUUCAAGUUUUAAUUUCAUUUAGUCUUGAGUUUCAUGGUUUUUAUUUAAUUCUUUUAUUUUAUCAUUCCACAUUAAAUUAUUGGGUUUUGAGCUUCAUGGUUUUUUCCUCAUUCUUUUAUGUGAGUUUAUCUUGAUCUCAUAUCAUAGGCUUAGAUUUUUUAUUGCGUUUUUAUUUCAUCAUUUGAAAUUACAUUAUUGGGUUUUAAGCUUUGUGAUUUUUUUUAAUUUUUUUUUAUGGGGUUAUCCUGAGUCGCAGGUUUGUCAAGUUAACCCGAGUUGACUUCGAGUUUUUUUUUUAUAAUCCUUUUAUUUUUCUUCGGUCUUUUUUUCUUGGUCCUUUUUAUUUUAAAUAAUUUUUUAUCCCGAUCACAUUUUGCGGGUUGCGAAUUAGUCGAGUGAACCUUGGCUCACUCAAAUUUUUUUACAUUGUUUCUUUUUAAAUUAUUUUUUAUUUCAAUUUAAUUUUUUGAUAUUAGAUUGUUAGGUCAUGAUCUUAGUGAUUUUUUCCACUUUCCUUUAUACGAGGUUGACUCGAGUUACGAGUUAAUCAAGUUAACCAGGGUGGCCUCAUUUAUUUUCUUGAUAUUUUAUUUAUUGAUUUAACUUCAAUCUUUUUUAUUUAAGUCUUUUUUUUAAAAAAAUAUUUUUUUAAUUCUAAUCUCAUAUUGAGGGAAGCGGGUAGUUAAGUGAUUUCGAGUUGACUUGUGUUUUUUUUUGAUGUUUCUAUUUUUAAAUUUUAUUUUCGAGUUUCAUUUUUUAACAUUAGGCUAUUAGGCUUGGAGCAUUAUUUUUUUUUUCGUUUUCCUUUUAUAGAAUUAUAUUAAUUUUUUAUCCUAGAUCAGAGGUUACUCAAAUUAACCUAACUUAACAUAAGUGAUCAAUGCCUUAACAUUUUUUUUUCUGUAACAUGGAUCACCAUACCAGUAAUAUAAAAAAGAGAAAUGGGGACCAAAUUCUUUUAUCUCUCUCUCUCUCUAGAGAGAGAGAGAGAUCAUUGGAGUCUAAAAGUAAAUUUGAUAUCUUCAUGAUGAAUAAAAGUACAAAAUUAGAUUAAUUGAAAUAUUAUUAGUUUAGUUAUAUAAAUAUAAAUAUUACGUAAAGUUUAUGUCAUUUAUCUACACAUAAAGAAAAUCUAAAAUCUUGGUAGAUUAAAAAUCUUUUUUCUCUUGUGAGCAUAAACUCUCUUUUUUUGUUUUUGUUUUAGCUAGAAGUGGUAAAAAAGAGAUAUACAGAGGAUAUGAGAUUGAUCAGCUCUUUUUAAUAUGCAGAGAGAUUCAAACCAUUGACGUAAUCAAGAUUUUACUAAUUAAAGGUUUUGAGCAUUUAGCUAAAUAUAUGAUACAAUAAAAUAAGAAUUUUAUACAACUAGAUAGAGAUUUGAUCUAGACAAACUAUAUAGAUGGCCUAAUAUAUAUUUUUAUUUAUCAAUGAGAUAUGUCUAGGUCUAAAAGAAGGUUAUGUAGUGUCAGAUUAAGUUAACACCUUAAAACUGCAUCUCUUAUGAGACUAUCGGAUUUUCAGAAAACACACCCCUUGCUCUUUGAUCUGGAUCACUUUGGGUGACACUUUCGCGAGUGCUAACAGUGCUCCUUGAAUGCGACUCCGCUCCACUAAACAUGUCAUCGUCAUCAGUGGUCGUGACAUCUUGAUGUGGUGAAAAUGAGCUUUUAUUUUCCAUAUUGAUCCCGUCUACACUGUUGGCAUUUUCCUCAGCAGAUUGUUGAAGCUGCAAUGCAAAUUCAAGGCCCCAAACGACAUCACCCAUUUUAGGGCGUUCAAUUCCUGAAACAUGUAAGCAACUGUUAGCAAUCUCUGCCAACUUAUUUAAAGAGACAGGGGAAACCUCGCCCUUUAAAUGUGGAUCCACGAUCUGAUCAAGGGUUCCUCUUUGGUAACACUUUCUUGCCCAGUCAGCUAAGCUUGCUUGAUCUUUCGGUGAACUUGGAAUCACUGGUGGCCUUGCACAUAGCACCUCAAACAAAACCACACCGAAUGAAUAAACAUCAGAUUUCUCUGUCAGGUGUUGCCUACGGUAGUACUCUGGAUCCACAUAUCCAAUGCUACCUCUAACUACAGUGCUAACAUGGGUUUGGGAUGUACUAGUGGGACCCAAUCUGGACAGCCCAAAAUCUGAAACCUUAGCCACCCAAUUCUCAUCUAACAAUAUGUUUGUUGACUUCACAUCACGGUGAAUGACUGUGUGCUUUGCUCCUGAAUGAAGAUAAUGCAACCCUUUAGCAGCACCGAUGCAUAUUUCUAGCCUUUGCUUCCAUGGAAGAGGAGAGUUCUUUGUUUUGUAUAGAUGUUCUCUAAGAGUGCCUCUUGACAUGUAAUCGUAUACAAGAAUCAUCUCGCCAUGAUCAUCACAGUAUCCAAUCAGCGACACUAGAUGGAGGUGGCGCAGAUUGGAUAACAUCUCAAUCUCUGUCUGGAACUCACGUGUCCCUUGCUUUGAUGAUGAAUCUAGUCGUUUGAUGGCUACUGCACCGUAUUCAAUGUAUCCUUUAUACACAGUACCAAAUCCCCCUGAACCAAUAAUAUUUUGAUCAUCAAAGUGUCCUGUUGCUUCGUUGAUUUCGAAAAAUGUAAACCGUCGGCAAAGAUCAGUAGGGAGUGAUGAAGAGAUUGUAGUCGUGGACCUAGAUGUUUGUGAUAUUAGAGUCCAGGAGGAUUUUUCCUCACUCUUGCUAGGGUCCUUGACUCGCUUCUGCUUGAAAGCAAAGAAAUAAAGAAUAAGAGAGCAAGCAAACACUGCACCUAUGGAACCUCCAACGAUGGCUAUAACCGUAAGUAUUGAUGAUCUUUUGCCCGUUCUUCUGUCUUGUAGACUUGGAUGUUGUUCUGCUGGUGGAGGAGCCACUGUUGGCUCAGGGUUGGAUCCUGCAAGAUUUCCGUCUGUUGUAUUCAGCUUGAAUAUUUCCAAGCCAUUCAAGAUUGCAUCAGCAUAAGUAGGUUUCAGUUCCAUGUUAGGGUGUAGUUGGAGCCACAAGUUCCUGCUUGCUCUGGCUACCUUGAGGGACCAGCACGAUGUAGUCUUUGUAAACUGGAAUGCCGUUGCCACCGCUCAUAUGGAUCACAUCUGCAUCAUGCUCCGCUAUUUGAUUGUUGAUGAAUAUUAAAAAUACCUGUUGAUUUACACUUUUGAACUCCUUUCGAGUCUCACAAAAGUGGAGUCUAAGGAGGUAAUUGAAACCAACAUCAACUGAGAAGAUCCAUGUGAGAUUGUAAUUCAUGUUAAGAAGUGGUUCAGGACCCAUAGAACGCAUAGUACUAUAUACCAUAACAGGUGCGGAGUAAGCUGGCGUUUUGGUUGUGUACUCUAUCUUGACGCCUGAGUGAUAUGGAGUGGUUCCAGCUUUUCCAAAGAGAUACCCUGAAUCUUGAUGCCAUGUCCUGUACAUUCCAGUCUUGUCUCCAGUGCUGCUGAUAUCUUGCCCCCCAACAUUCAGUCGAUAAACUGUCUCAAGCGCAGUUGUGUUACCCAGAUAGAAGGGGGCGGUGCCCACAUAGGUCGGUGGAUUAUCAUCGCCACGAGCAUAGAAGCUGUCUGGCAUGGAAACGAUUUCGAUACCAUUAACGAAGGCAAAAGAUGCUGGAGACGGAUUGAAGGUUAAUUCAAGCUUCUGGUUGUCCCACACGGUGAUGAUGAACUCUUUGGUGAAGGAGUCAACUGGAGGUCUUAUAGCAGAAACUGUAAGAGAGGCACUAAAGUUGUUUAGUAGCUGGUAGGUAUUGGCACUAAGCGAAAAAUAGGAUUUGGAUAUAUCAAGAUUUGAGUAAGAAGAUGGAUAAAAGUAGAGACGCACAAAUUUUGGGCCAGGCAAGACUAGAAAUGUGUAAGUGAAUUUAGAGUGAAAAAUACGGGCUGUCUUGUAUGGGACUUGGUCGACAGAGGGGGUCUUGAGUGGAGGCUUCAAACACAGAUGAGGCUUCUGGGGGAUUAGAGGCAGCAAACUUCGGCUGGGAAUCACCAUCCCAACUGCGACCAUCUGGAGAUGACAAAUUAGAGGAUGCACCACAGUUAAGGAGUAUUAGAUCAGUGGGGCUGU